UGAGCAGGCCUGAGCGCCAGGCCUGUCGAUUUGUGUCGGCUCGAGCGCCCAAAGGUAGUCUGACAUGGGCUGACGUCAGAGUGACAACGACGUCAGCCACGUAGUAGGACUUCCUUUUCUCUCUGUCAACCUUCAUGGUUCUUGAAUGAUAUCGUCUCACGAUGGAUGGGCGGUGGCGACGACGACUCUCCUCAAUGCCUCCGCCUCGUGACCACCGCCGCCUUGGAGAAUGGAUCACGUAACUGCCAAGACCGUGACUUCAUUCUCCUACUUCUGCGGCGGUUUGAGUUCCUCAAGCUCGCGUAUGAGUACCACUACUCUGCAGAGGAUGAAGUCAGCUCAAAGUUUCCGAAUUGAGCAAAAGCUCCAGAACCCACAAACUUGUCGGAGUUUGCUCUGAUAAGGUGACCAAAAACUGGGCAAGGUUUCAGAGAAAUUGCAGGGGGUUAAACCUCUAGUUUCGAACUGGAAAAUCACCACAAAUCUUGUCCCAAACAACAUUAAGACAUAAUGAAACAAGAUUUGCAUAGAGAACCUCACCUGGGUUCGAGUUUCAGAUGUUGAAGCUCUCAGCUUCAAUGGUGGUUUACAUCGUGAUGGUCUGAUGAUGCAUGUAACGGUAUAGCUAGGAUCAUUUAGUCCCAGAGAUUAAGGUUUCAUGGUUUUGGAGUUUGAUUUAUUUAAUUUUCGAAGAGGAAAGUGGGUGAGAGCUCUCGGAGCUAUAGAGAGUGUGAGAGUGUCGAGAGCUUAGAGAGGAAAGGAACUUCAGAAAAAUGGAGAGAAGUGAGAAAGAUGAGUGGAAAGAGAGGGAGUGACGUGAGCAAGUUGCAAAAAAUACUAUUAUUUUAUUUACCUAUUGCUAGGGCUAUUUAAGUGUAGGGGUGGAUAUGCAAAUGGCAAUUACUGUUCAUUAAAGACAAUUACUGUUCACUAGGUGGAUUAAAUAGUGGAUAGCCCUGGGGGGACCUUUCCCACCGUGGAACUGCUUUAAUAAGGGCAGUUGGGCAGAUAAUGACAUGUUCGAAGGUAUCGGGAGUAGGUCCGUCGGGAGGUAAGUGGCUAAAACCCUUCCAGCACCGGCGAUGACGAAUCCAAGUCCGUCCAUUCUCUCAAUAUUCUUUUAUUUAUUUUUUAUUGAUCGACUGGAGCCUAGUGUAAAAGCAGUUCCAACGUGGGAACCCCCCUAGGCAAUACACUAUAUUAUCCACCUAGUGACCAGUAACUGCCCUUAAUGAACAGUAAUCGCCUUUUGCAUCUCCACCGUUGCACUUCAAUAGCCCUGGCAAUAGGCAAUAAAAUAUUAUUAUUAUUUUUAUUUAUAAAAUAAUACAAAAUAAUUUUAUUUGUAAUUUCAAAUAAGUUUUUUAAUCGUUCUCGUUGCGCCACGUGGCAUUAUCUGAAAAGUUAUAAAAUAAUACAAAAUAAUUUUAUUUGUAAUUUCGGAUAAGAUUUUUAAUCGUUCUCGUUGUGCCACGUGUCAUAAAAUCUGAAAAGACAAUUAUUGGUGAUGGAUUUCCGAUAAGAUUUUUAAUCGUACUCGUUGUGCCAUGUGUCAUUAUCCAAAAAUACAAUUAUUGGUGAUGGAUUUCCGAUUAGAUUAUUAACCAAUCACGUCGCGCCACGUGUCACAAUCUUUGAGGAUAUAUAUUUCCAUCAAAUUUUUAAUGAAUGAUGGCAUGCCACGUGGCAUUAUCUACAACCUAAUCCUUUAUGAAUCAUCCAUAUAAUCCACCAUCCAUCCUCACAAAUCUCACACCAAUUUUCUCAAGAUCUCUAUCAUUAUUCAUAGUUUCUGCUGCAUUUUUACAAUGUCUUCUUCUUUAAGGACGAUGUGGGAAAUCGAUUAGCAAGAGGAAUAAUUGUUUAACCAAUCAGAAGGAAUGUUCAAUCUCCAGGUGGCCCAAAAUGAAAGGGAAGAGGAUGAGGAAUGUAGAAGGAAAGAUGACGAAGCAAGAAUGGGCAGAGCCUCACAUUCCCGUUAAGUCAUCCAAGUUGUGGGUCAGAUCUGCAGGCCCAGCCGUUCUGGAAACCUUGAUAGAAGUAGGCAACGACGAGGUACGGAACUCUUGGACAAUUAUUUUGUCCGUAAUAGUGCAUUCCCUGAUACGUACUUUAGACGUUGUUUUAGAAUGGAACGACAUUUGUUCAACAAAAUCAUGAUUGCUGGUUGCAACCAUGAUUCUUACUUUGUGCAAAAGAAUGAUGUUUUUGGUGUUAUGGGUUUCAUUCAUCAGCAAAAAAUUACUGCUGCCUUACGGAUACUUGCAUAUGAAGCAUCUGCAGACCAAGUGGAUGAGAUAACGAGAAUGGGUGGUGGCAUCUUUUGAUACAUGGAUUUGGCACGCCUUUUUAAGGGUUAUGAGAGCUCAAAAUGACCUUAACUUCCAAAUCCCCAGUGUUCACGAUGUCCUGCAAGGAAAGGCACCAAAAGUCACGUACUGCGUCAAUGGAUGUAUGUACGACGAGCCAUACUACCUAGCAGAUGGCAUUUACCCAAGGUGGUCAACAUUUGUCAAAACAGUGCCACGUCCGCGAAGUGCAAAGGAAAAACACUUUGCAAGCUGUCACGAUGGGUGCAGGAAAGAUGUGGAGCAUUGUUUUGGUAUCCUCCAAGCUCGUUGGGCAAUCGUCAAAGGUGUUGCCAGAUUGUUUGAUGUAGAGUCGCUUCGAUCCAUCAUGAUGAUGUGCAUUAUUCUUCACAACAUGAUUGUGGAAGAUGAGUACGAUUAUGAUGUCGUUGAUGAAUAUGAGCCAGACACGAUGAACAAUUCAAGAACACGUAUAUACUGUGCUCAUGACGCCAUCGAAGAACCUGUGCAACAUGAGCCAUUAGAAAGUGAUGGACGUUACAAUGAAUUGAUCAUUCAACGAUAUACUGCACUUCAAAAGCCAUAUAUGCACAAUGCCCGACAAAUUGAUUUGAUAGAGUACCAGUGGGAAUUGAAACAAGCUUAAGAUGCUUAAGUUCAUUUAGUGUGUUUGUUUUUUUUUUGGUGUGUUUAUUUAAUUUUAUUUGGUGUGUUUUUUUUUUAGUUCAUUUAGUGAGUUUUUUUUUAUUAUUUGGUAUGUUUAUGUAAUUUUAUUUGGUGUGUUUAAAUGUCUUUUGAAUAAAGAUUCUCUUAGUAUAAAUAAAUUACCAAAUUAAAUAAAUAUACUCUUAGUUUAAAUAAAGUACUAAAAUCAAUAAAUUGGAAACAACAUAAAGUACUCUAUUCAAUAAAUAAGAAAUUACAACCCAAAGUGAUUGAAAAAUUAUGGGCUCCGAUUACAAAAAGUACUUUAUUCAUUAUCCCUUAACCAAUUUGUGGUGCUAGGAUGAUCUUCUCUUGUCGUGCUAGGACCUCCUCUUGCUCUCGCUUUUCUUGCACUGUUGGAAAUAUGCCCUGAAAGUCAAUCUUUCGAAGAAACCUUUCAGGACAAAUGAAUGGAUGUAUAGAUGAUUCUUAUACAUCAAAUGGCAAAGAUACUAAUUAGGACUAUCUCAAUAAACGAUAUAUGUCCUAAAUAGUGAAUCCAUGGACAAUGGAUCGAUUGAAAAAGUAAUCUAAUGAUGUUAGACUACAGAGACCUUCUUCACAUAACCAUAAUGUCCAAAAAGGUUCCUGGUCAUUGGAUUGUCGGAAGGAUACUGACAAUGCUUAGACCGGUACAUACUGUGUCUGCUUCAAAUGGAAGGAUGGAAAGUCUCAUCCCAUUCGUGUGGUGACACUAAGACAAGUAUGUAGGUGCUCAUUAAGGGAAUGAGUUCACUGAACACAAUCGAACGAGAGUACUUGCAUGGAGGUCUACUCACAUGUCAAGCAAGUAACUCUAAUGGUUGGAAUAAUGUAAGUAGUCAUUUGACUUGAGGCAUCGUCGUUGUCUUGUGGCUAAGUACUUAAUCUUUGAUUAUGUCAAAGUCACCCCAUUCGCGGGUGUCCACGGCAUAAUUGGGGUUAAGCCACUUAGUCAUGAAGGCAAGUGAAUGCGCAACAAGGAAUCUCUAAUCCUCGAUAAGAGAGGAAGAAUACUCUAAGAUAUGAUUCGGGAAUCUUCGGCCGAAGUAUCGAGCGUAAUAAAGGAAAGCGUUCAUAUGCGACUCAAUUGAAUCAUAUAAGAAUGAAUAAUCACAUUAGGGGUUUGACAUAAUAUAUCCAUACCCUAGUAAUGUGAUUGAGAGUAUUGUUUUAGAGAAUGAUCAAAUUACAUUGUAAUUCCAACUGAAUAGGUUCUCCGAACAACUUCUACAUUAGCUUGGGUAGCUAUGAUAUAUGGUUAGAUGUCACUCAUAGCUUGUGAGUUCUUCUAGAUGAUUAAAUGUAGUCAUCAAAGAAGAAGGUGAAUUAAAAGGAAGUUUUAAUUCACUAAGUGAUUGAAUUAAAUAUAAUCAAUUGGAUUGAUGUCAAUCACCUCACUACCUUGCUAAUUAGAACCUAAAAUGAUUGUACACCGAUACACUUUUGGUAUCUGAACCAGCUUGGUUUCUGUACAGUCCUCACGUGCAGUCACAUAAAGUUUGGUAAAAAAUUCCAGAGGUGGUCAGCGGUCACGUGAGAGCUUGAGGAAACCCCGAUAUAUUAGUAACUAACUUAUACAUUACAACACACCACACCUUUAUUGCUUAUUUACAUCUACAUACGUUGACAACUCAGAAACCCCCCAAAUUUUAACCACCAGCCAAAUUACAAACCUUCCCAACUCUCGCGCGCCCGCCCCAGCCCCGGCGCCCCCCCCCCCCCCCCCCCCCCCCCCCCCCCCCCCCCCACACACACAUAUAUAUAUAUAUGUAUAUAACUUGGUAACCAUUUCACAUCCUUAAAUCCGAAGUACUAGUUUUGAUCAGUCUGUUUUGACUUCAGGAGUAUGGAGGCUCUCAGGGUAAAGCACAUUCUUGGCUCCUGUGUAAUCCAAGAUCUUCUCGCUAGGUGCAUCUCUGGCAGAUGAGCCCGCCCUAUUCAUAUAAAUCAGUCUGUAACCCCACUCAAGUAGCUCAGGGCAAAACACCUUCCAUAAGUAUGUCACCCUGAACCAUGCCGGCUCCGUCAAGUACCUAUCCCCACGACAAGCGCUGUUCACGAUUGAUUUGGCACAUCCUUCCACUUUAGCAACUGGAGUUGCACUUACUUGGGCCUGCACAAAAUUACGCUAUUCAAACUGUGAAUGAAUAUUGACAGUUUCAGCAACAUACUGUGAAUCUAAAGCGAUGAUCAAUAUUAACAGUCUAACAGCAUACUAUGAAUGGAUAUUUAACAACAUAACAUGUUUCUAAUAUGCACACUAGAUUAACUAAUAAAUUAAGUGCAUAUAAGAAUUUAACAAACUUACAUCUCUCAAAUCUUGAUCAACAGUCAUUUUGCCUUCACUCAUUAAGAACUUGCCUUGGGUCAGCUCAGACUCUAUGAAUCCAGGAGUCACGAUUGUAAUUUGGAUGUCUGGCCCAAAUUCAAUCCUCAGUGUCUCGUACAUGCUUAGUAGAGCUGCUUUACUUGCCUAAAUUAGAUAUACGUGAACAAUUAAUCAAUGAAGUAUAAGAUGAUAAUAUCUCUAAUAUAAACAAUCUUCAUAAAGAUCACUUACAUUAUAAAUGCUUUGUCUUGGUAUAGGUAGCCAUGAAGCAGACGACGAAAGUACCACGAUUUUACCUUUGCUGCUUUUCAGGUGUGGAAGUGCAAAAUGAGUGGUAUAAACCGAGCCCCAGAAGUUUGUGUCCUGCAACGACAAGUUGUCAACUUUCACUCAUCUAUUUGGAAAAAAAAAAAAAUAGAACAGAUAGGGACAUUACUUGGGUUGGCUUACUUCAAAAUUCAUGCAAAAUAUAUUGAUGUUUUGAUAAUUGGACAUGCAUUUACCAAUUAACCACAUAAAUGAAAUCAGAGCAGUUACCAUGAUGGUUCUGAAGUUGGUGAUAUCAGUUGCGUCUUCCAAUAUGCUAAGUAAAGUGAUCCCAGCAUUGUUCACCAGAUGGUCUACUGCAUACAUCACACAUCCCAUCAAAUAAUCAAUCAUACCAUUAAAUAAGAAUUUACAUGUUAAUGUUACUCUAAAAAUAUCUUUAUCUUUCUUCAUUAUUGUUUGUUAUGGGAUGACAACAUAUCACAAAGUACUGAAUUAGUACAAGAUCACGUCUCUUUUUUGGAGUGCUAAUAUAAUUCACUAGCUAAUUUAAAUUCAUAUUUCCUCAUGCCAAAAACAUGAUAAAAGUUUAUUUGUACACAUAUAAAUUGUACUUACGCCUUCCAUAGUGGUUCAUGGUGUCAUCAACUAUUCUCUUGCAGUCCUCAACCUUGGAAACAUCUGCACGUAUCAUGAGAACAUCUGGAGAGCCAAAAUCACUUGCUCGAUCAACAACUUCUCUGAGUGCGUUUUCACUCCUCCCAACAAGGGCUAACCGUGCCCCUCUCUUCGCAUACUCAUAAGCCAAGUGCUACAAAAUCAAACAACACAAACAUAAAGUGUACUAAUUAAAAAAUAAUACGUCAUGUGACAUAACUAACUACAGUAUUUGAGAAAACAUGCACAAAUAGAACCGGUUUCAAAUUUAAGCAAACAAUAAAUUGUUGUUCAUAUUUACCAUGAUUCGGUUCUAUUUUGAUUAAAAGUUUGUAGUGUGCGCUAUUUGUUCUUUAGUGUUAGUAAUAUUGAUUACCUCUCCAAUACCAGAGGAGGCCCCGGUUAUGACGACGACCUUUCCUUUGAGAUUUUCACUGAAAAUGGAGCUCAGGACAUAGGAGAAGGACUUGAAGAGAUAAAAGGGUGGCAGGAAAACGCAGAGGGAGAAGAAGGUGAAAGGAGGAGCUACAAGAUUCAAGAACGUGUGAAUAAGACCCAACAUGGCUUUGCUUAGAUUUGCUACCUGUCUGAUGAUAACACAGGAAUAUGUUUCUGAGAUGAUGAAAUCUUGAAGAUAGAAGCUUUCUAUUAAUUGGGUUUGGGGUUUAUGAAUAUAUUAAGUGUUAGAAGGAGGAGAAGAAGGAGGUGGCGGUACAAAGGCAGCAACAGGGCACGUGGCAAGACUAGGACACGUGUACAGACAUUUCCUUGUGUGACCGUAUUAUUUGUCCAGAUGCUCCCAAAUUUUGCCGCAUCUCUUUAAGAAAAUUUUCAUUCUGAUCGGAACACGAGUGGUACAUUACGUGUUUUAUAUAAGUGGUGGAAAAUUAUAUUUUUUAAGUUAUUAACUUUUUAACACAUAUAUUUCAUCAUUUGUAUAAUGACACGCUGUGUUCCGACUACAUUGAAAAACCUCUCCAACUUUUUAUUUUGGUUUUAAUCUCUCCAUCCACGUUGUCAUUUGUGUAGAAUUGAAAGAACAGAAGGAUAAAAAUAAAGACAGAUCGCCAUUAGAAUUUGUUUGGGAAAACCCGCUGUGUUAUAAGACAACCUUUUAUGAAUUCAAUGUCUUUUUAUCGAACAAGUUUUUAGGUAUGAAAAUGAAAAUAAAAACUAGGAGAGUUUUGACAUAGGCAUUUUUUUUUGUAUAACGAUAUAUACACUAAGAGGAGAAGAACUUCGGCUAAGCUAUUGAAGUGGUCAAAUUUUCAUAUAUUUUAUCAUAUAUCUCCUUUGAUUUUGUAUAUAUGAAUGAGUUAAAUGCAUUAAAUUCUAUUGUUUGAUUAUAUAGGCAUUCAAUACCGGACUUAUAUGAAAAAGAAGUGGAAAACGAGUUUUUCGGGUGUCUAAAGUAAUCCAAUGGAGCAAGAGGCUAAGUAACUGCAUAAAGACAUGCAUUACAGUUAGAAGAUGAAAUUGCAACGGUUUUGGAUAUCAAAGUGACAUGAGAAUGCUAUUCAGUAAAUUUUAAGAGAGACAUAAUUGUUUUUAUGAUUUCCGUUUAAUUUCUUUUUCUUUAAUUAGGCCUUAAUGUCCAAUAAGGGCUACGUUUUUAAUUAGCCUUUUUGUUGUCCAUUGCCAUGAGUUAUAAUGUGGAGAUUAAUUCUCCUCAUUCAUUCAUUCUCGAAAGAAAGCCACCAAAACAUAUCACACUUUAAGGGGGCUGCGGCAAAGAAGGGAAGAGGGAAGAGUUCUUUCUUUGGUUUUUUUUCUUUGCUAGGUUACGAUGUAGUUUAAUCAUGAAUACUUAGUUGUCUUCUGGUAUUGUUAUUAUCAAGUUUUUCUUCCUUAUUGAGUAUCUUUUGCUAUUGGUAAUGCACUUGAUUUUUAUUUAGAUGCUUGAUCACCAUCUAGAUUUAGAUUAAGUUGAUUUGAUGCAAGUUAGAGUAAAUGACAUACUUAACUUGGGUUUAGCUUCUUGCAAAUGAUACCAUAAACACCUAUUUGUAGAUGCCUUGCAAUUAGAGUUUGUGUGAUUUUCCAACAAUUUCCAUAGAGCUUAAUGGUUUCUUACUUGUUUAAAUUCAUCUAGAUAUCAUAGGGGGUUAACAUAUAAGGAUACUUUUGAUGCAACCAUAUGCCAUGACCAUUGAAUAAUUUAGGGAAAAUCGAUCAUCAAUAUUGGGGAACUACUUGAGCAUAACAUAUUAAGAGAAUUAAGUAUGAUUGAUUAUGGUGAAUUUGGAUGCCCUAGGUCUUAUUUUCUUAUGUUUUAAUUUAUAAUUUACAUGCAUUUUAUUUUCAAGCUUUAUUUUAUUUUAGUUUAAUUUAAAAUUUUCAUAUCUUUUCCAUUAAAGCUUCUCCACUCUAAUUUGUAUCAAUUUAGUUAGUAAGAUUUUUAGAUAUCAAUUCGAUUUUUGUGCGAUGAUAUCCAUGCUUAUAUGCUAUACUAUCAUUUGAUUCGUACACUUGCGAGCACAAAAAUUCGAGACUUAAUGAGGCUAUCUAAUUUUCGCAACAGCAACACCAAAGGCAAAAUUUGGAGACAAAAUUUGCAAACUAAAUUUGAAGACAGAAUUUGCAAAUUAAAUGAUGUGUUACUAAUAGGAAUGAACAUGUUUAUCAACAUUUUAUUAUAUCUAAUUUUCGCAACAGCAACACCAAAGGCAAAAUUUGGAGACAAAAUUUGCAAACUAAAUUUGAAGACAGAAUUUGCAAAUUAAAUGAUGUGUUACUAAUAGGAAUAAACAUGUUUAUCAACAUUUAAAUAAUAAACUAAUCAUUAAAUUCUAUAUCUUUUAAUUUCUAAAAUUUUGUUUCCCUCAUUAUCCGUAUCGAAAAUGUAAUCGUAUUUGUACAGUUGGAAAACAACCAACUUGUUGCCCCCACCACAUCAAGAAAUUUUUAUACUAGUCUGACGAGUGGACCUGGGUAGACUGUCCACAAUGCAAUCGAAAACUUCGAAAAGGGUUGGUGGGUUUUCUUGUCUCACGUACUAGCGAAACGCUCUGGACAUGACAUAGAUUUUGUCCCCAAUAGACCACAACAAGGUUUAUUAUCUUAUCUUAAUUGGAACCAAACAUUAUGGGAAUUAAUUAAGGAAUUUCAACCAAAACUUCCGGUAUUGUUCGUUAAACUAAAAAGUUAAUCAUGGUAUUAUUCACUUUACUCUUUAUUUUGUCCUUAUCGUUAAAACUCAAAAUUUUCAAACUAUUUUUAUUAAUUUUCCUAAUUAAUUACGGUACUUUUGGAUUCAAAAGCAACAACUUCAAGAUUUGUCUUCAUACAUAUACCAAGGACGCUCAGAAACUCACCCUGUAGGCCCUAGGGUUUGGAAUCCACAAUCUUAACAAUCUUAUAUUUAUGUCCGAAUGGAAAAGGCCUUCUGUCAGGAUAUUCAGAACCUUGUACAAGUUUACACUCCGGUGGAGAUUUCGAAGAUCUUGUUGCCUGCAAUUUACUAAUAUAUCCAUUGCCAAUAGGCAUUUGUCCGUCUGAACAUAGAAAACCAAUCCUUCUCCGGCAUCAUAUGCAAAAGUUCUAUCUGUUGGAUCAAAGUGUAAGACUAUAUUAGAGUUGCACAGUGGUAUGUAACGUCUCAUAUAGAUUAAAGAUUGCAGAGAUUGAUUUCUGUUUAUUCCAUACUUGACCAAUUCCGAAACUACUGAGCACCGGUUAACGUUAUACCGUCAAGGAUCCAGAAGAGUUUCCCUCCAACCAGGAGGCCAAUCACAUUGCAACAUGUGUCGACAUCAGAAGCCAAUCACAACGAGACACAUGUCAACAUCAGAAGUCAAUCACAACACGAUACGUGUCAAUGUCAGAACAAAACUAGAAACUCUUCUAUAAAAGGAGAUCAUUCUCCCACAAUAUUUUCUAAUAUCAUUUGUACUAAAUCAUUCACUAGUACUCACUAAAGGAGAGCUUGAACCUAUGUAUUUGUGUAAACCCUUUACAAUUAAUGAGAACUCCUCUACUCCGUGAACGUAGCCAAUCUGGGUGAACCACGUACAUCUUGUGUUUGCUUCCCUGUCCCUAUCCAUUUACAUACUUAUCCACACUAGUGACCGGAGCAAUCUAGCGAAUGUCACAAACUUAACACUUUCUGUUGUACCAAAGUUCCCGCUGAUUUUGUACAUCAACAAUUUCAAUAAUACUUGUAUGCUAAUAAAGACAGUGUAUUAUUAGGAUUUUAUAGCUAAAGCAAUCCUGAUACGAUUAGUAAACCUAAUCAGAUAUGAAUACUAAAGUUUAGGUGAUAAAGUCUUGUUCGAAUAGAAUUACAUGAUGGGAAGUUCCCUACUCGGAUUCCACCUCUUUUACUAUAUAACAAGAGGCCCUGUUCUCACACUCGAUACACAAUAAUAACCUUUCUAGUCCCAUUGAAUAGAGUUGCGAUAAGAUGAGUGAAAGAGAGUAGAAGAUCAUUUGUUUUAGGGAUAUAGGGGUGUGCUAUCCACACACCCCAAAUUACUUCUCACACACCCUUAUUAAUUUAUAUCCGUUGAUCUUAUUCAAUUCAUCCGAUCUGACGGCCGAAAAUUAGAAGGGUGUGUGGAUAUCACACCCCUUUGUUUUAUGCUAUAGAGUUGUCACAAUACAAGGAGAGAUGCAGACACUCAGAAGAUUGAUCAACGGAGGUUCUAAUCUAGAUAAGUGUUUUUAGUUAAUUACGAUUUGUUGAUGCACAAAACCGGGGCGGUCUUUGGUACAACGUAAAUCCGACCGUGAAUCUGCACAAACGCUCAAGAACACGAAGAACACAAGGAACACAAGGAUUUUAUCGUGGUUCACCCCAAUGUUUGGGCUACGUCCACACUGUAGGUGAUUCUGUUUCUCUGUAAUUGUAUGGAUACAAGUGUUUGAGGGGAAGUCCCCCAGAGAGAGAAGAGAAGGGAGAGGAGAGCCUCGGUGGUGUGAGGACUCUCUCUCAAGGCUUCUAGCCUUUGUUUUCAGCUCUAGCCCUUAGAAAUGAGGACUUAAGACUUGGUUUAGAAUGAGGGGGAGUCCCCUUUUAUAGAAUAAGGGGCUCCUCCUCUUUUACAUUUGUCGUGGGCUUAAUGUGUGAGGCCCAAAUACGAGGCCCAAGACCCAAAUACGAGGCCCAAAAAUAUGGUAUAAACACGAUUUUUCUUCUUACACAAAGGUAUACAACUAAACUUGUCAAUGAAAGAGUUUUAAUGAAACUUUCAGCAACAUGAUUUGUCUCAUCACAUAUAAAGCAAACAAGCAACAAAUAAACAACUUAUACUUUCCUUAUAGUUUGCUGUAAUAGUAGGAUUGAAUAUUCUUAAUUAAUUGUCUUAGGUUACUUAUGCCUCACAUGUAAUUAUUACAUAUACAUUUCCACACGCGAUUGUUACAUAUACAUCCGCUGAAAGACGGUUAAUAAUAUCAGAAUAUUGAACCACUAAACCUAAUCGCUAUCCCAAAACCAAGGCUGAAAGGCCUUCCGUCGAUAAUUUCUUUCUCAAAGUCGAUAGUCGACGUAAACUAUCAAUCUCUAAAUUCCAGUCACCAUACAAACCCGUAAUUGCCCUAAUUAUUAUAAGAUUCCAGUAAUUUUUCAUGCUAUAUGUACAAAAUUGAAAAUUUCAAGAGUAGCCAAAAGUGGGAAAGUUUUAUUCGCUUUUACCUACAGGUCGCAAUAAAUCAGUACCACGCGUGGCAAGAGUGAGAAGUGAGAUGAUCGAGACACCGAGGUACUGAACUGAUUGGGAGAGAUGGAUUAGAUAAAUGGACAAGGAUUGUCUGCCCUCCUCGUGCCCUCCUGUUUUGUGUGGUCACGGUUAAGCCACAUUAACAUUUUAUAUUAUUUUUUUAUAGAUAUAUAAGACAAAAAUGAAUAGUAAUAUAAAAUGUUGACGUGGCUUAACCGUGACCACACAAACAGGAGGGCACUAGAAGUGGAGGGCAGACAAUCCUUAUCCUAGAUAAAUUUAGGGGUGUGUGGAGCUAUCCACACACCCCAAAUUACUUCUCACACACCCUUGUUAAUUCUAUCCGUUGAUUUUCUUCAAUUCAUCCGAUCCGACGGCCGAAAAUUAGAAGGGUGUGUGAGAAGUAAAAUGGGGUAUGUGGAUAUCACACCCCUAAAUUUAUACAAACCUAGACCAAAAACCUAGGAAAAUAGGAAACGUUGGAACUGAUUAUGUUGUGCUUUAAAAAUAUUUGUAACAUAUAGCAGUUGAAUAUUUGAUAAACAACAUUGGUAAAAUUUAAUGUAAGUGACAUAAUUAAUUGUAUAUAAUGAUAAAAAUAGACAUGGUAAUGAGCAGUGUUCUAAAAAUAGGCCUAGGCCCUAGGCAGUGGAGGGCCGCCGAGAUUUAUGCCAAAGCAUUUAUCAAAUCGGGUGGGAGUUAGUCGGCCGCCUAGGCGCUAUCUAGGCGGUGGUGGGCGGCGGUCUAGGCGGCCUUGUAAGAACCAUGGCGGUUUUCCAUCUCACAACGAUCUGACAAGAUGAGAGAAAGGGCACUGGAAAUUUUGACGAUACAUACAAACCCCAUUGAUUGUUCAAAGAAUCCACCUCAGAUUUCUUCACAAACUAUUGCUUGACCAGCGAGCCAUGUCGAUAUUGUUUGAUCGUUCGAGAUUUUGGGAUGAAAGUUGAGGGUUUGGAGUAACUUGUGGAAGCGGGGAAGAGGUUUGAUGAUGGGAGAGACCUCUUGAUUCUAAAACAGAGAGGAGAGCAAAGCAACUUCUCUUUGUUGAAAAAAGAGUGAAGGCAAUGGAAACGAGGCGUUGGGCAAUGGAAACAAGGGGUUGAAAUAAGGAAUCGAAAAUGAGGCUGGUUUUAAUAAAAGUGAGAGAGGUAUUUGGAUGAUUUGAUUGAAACAAGGCAUUCUUAUAAUAAAAUAGGAAGACUUGCGAUAAAGAAAUGGUGGGGUGGAGUAGGCCGGGCCAUUUAUAUUCUUAUCAUCUUUUUCACUUUUGAAAGGGUUAAGAAAACAACCCAUCUUAUUAAGUAGACCUCGUUUUUGUUAUAAUAAAUUUAAUUAAAUAAAUAAAAAUUACAAAUUCGCCUAAACUGCUUAGGCGCCAGACCCUAGUCAACCACCCGACUAGCGCCUCGCAUUUUUUAGAACCAUGGUAAUAAGGGUGGUGGUGACGACAAUCGUGGCAGCAUUUGUGAGUGAUGGCCGCGACAAUUGAGGUGUAGAGGUAGUAGUGGUGGCAUCGGAAAUGAUGGCAAUUGUGGUGGUGGCAGUGGUGUAAGGUUGGUGGUUGAAGUUGUAGGUGGUGGCAGUGACGAUAAUAGUGGAGGCGGCAGCGAUGAUUGUAGCAACAAUGGUGGUUGUAUGGUGAUGGCGUCAAUAGUAUGGUGUGGUGGUUGAAGUGCAUAUGUAAUAAUGGUGGUGGGGACGUGACAACGAUGAUGGUGGUUAUGGUGGCGCAGUUGUGGUGGUGGUAGUGACGAUUAUGGCGGCAGUGGUGGCGACGAUGGUGGUGGCAAUGGCGGUAGUGGUGGUUGUUAUUGCGUUUGUGGUGGUAGUGGUGGCGGUUGUGGUGGUGGUGGCGGCAUUGCUGAUGACGAUUGUGCUAGCAGCGAUAGCGGUGUAAGGUUACUGGCUCUAGUGUUAAUUAGUGAUGGUCACCUUGUUCUCCAAGAAAAAAAAUGUGGGUAGACGGAUAAAUAAUGUCAUUUUAUUAAAAAAAAAUGAGUGUAUUACAUGAAUUGAAAAUAUUCAUUAAACGGUCAACUUUGCUUUUUAUAAAAGUUGUUGCCUGAAUAUCAUUGUUUUAUAGAAUAAGAAGGAAAUUUUAGUUUUUCUAAACAUUUUUUUAUUGCUUAACUUUAAAGUGAAGCAAAAAGUAAUACCAAAUGGGACCUUAGAGUGAGUAUGUUACCACAAAAAUUUGUUUUUAUUUUACUUGUAUUAUUUCGACUCCAACAUCUGAUUUGGGCCAUCAUCUCUUCCAUCAAGCUCCUCCAUUCAUGCCAAUUUUCUGAUAUGUUGCAAAAUUCGUCUCCCUAACAGGUGGGUAGCAAAUUAUCUUGAAGGGCAAUAAAUACAUGGGCUAACACAAGUGAAUAAUUCACUUUCAUAAAUAAAAAGUAAAACAUGUAUACUGUUAUCUAAUGUUCCAUAUAUAGUUAAUCUUUUAACCCCGGAGUUAAACAUGUAAAAACUAUAGCUAAUUUAUAUUGAGACCUAGAAUUUGAUUCAUUUAAUUUUCAUUUUGGUGUCUGCUAAUUGUGGCAAUUUUGAUAUUGUAAUAUUUUGACAUUUUGGUAUCUGUUAAAAGAUCUUUGUCCUCUUUUAGAAUUCUUAGAAUUUUGCUCAUUUUUACAUGUAAAAAACUUAACUAAUCUAUCAUUUUAAUCGCAUUUAAAUCCUUUGUCAUAUUAUUAUUGCUCAAGGCUCCCUCGAAAACUACUUAAGCUUAUUUCGGCACCCUUUAAGUAGAGAAUCCGAUGGGCUUGACUUGUUCUUCAGAAGAAUAUGAGCAAUGGAAAUUAGGCAAAUGUUUGCAUUUUUUCUUGCCCGAUGCGUACCACUGAGUGUAUAAAGAGAUAUAAUGGACCUUUGAAACUACUAGAUCUUGCAUAAAACUGUAAAGAUAUAGAGCCACCAGAUGGUGACAAGUGUCAACAGAUAGAUGAAUGAGUUUGUUAAGUCGAUUAGUGGUAGUUUAGUGUGCAAGGAAACUUGUUGAUAUAUAUACGUGUACCGUGAGCUAUAACAAUUAUUCAUUCAAUACAAGAAGAUAAUUCAAUUGUACUUCUCUCUCUAGAUUUCUCUCUCUCUCUCUCUCUCUCUCUCUCUCUCUCUCUCUAGAUCACAUAGAAACUGCCAUUGAUGUUCUUCACAAUCUAUAGCUUAACAUGGUAUCUUCGCCAGUCGUUCUUCGAUCCUGAGGAUUUCAUUGAUUUCGCUCUCGAUUCUUGAAGUUUUGGUACGCUGUGUUGCAUAUUGUUGCUGUUUUUCUUGGAUUUGAGCUCUGCCUUCAACAUCGAUAUCGAUAUGCACAAUCGAUUGUAAGCAUAUUCACUACUUGCUUGAACAAAUGUCUGACUGGAGCUUUCUCUUUGUCUCUAUGUCCUCCCUUUGAAUCUUCUCAUUGAUUACGAUCUGUUCUUUUGAAAUCUCUUGAAAUCUUUCUUUGAAACCUUAAUUUUCUCAAUUCUUUCAAGAAAAUAUGGUGACGGCUGCACAAUUGCACAUAGUUUUGUUGCCGAUCACAACUCUUAUUACAAAUGUGUCUACUUAUGUUACUGUAAAGCUUGAUGAUACGAACUAUCUUGUUUGGCAAUGUCAAAUUUGAUUGCUUCUUGAAAGCCAUGGCAUUUUAGGCUUUGUGGAUUGUACUAGGCGUUGUCCUAAACGAUUUGAUGAUCAUGCUAAUAUUGAAGGUGCUGAAACUGAUGACUAUCAGAUUUGGAAAAUGCAUGAUCGUGCAUUAAUGCAGCUUAUCAUUACUACUUUGUCUCCGACUGCUAUGUCACGUGUUAUUGGAUGUUUGAGCACUUAUGAUAUGUGGAUUAAUCUGAAGGAUUGGUUCUCUACUGUUACAAAAUUCAGUAUUUUUCAGUUGAAAAGUGAGUUACAAAACAUCAAGAAAUGGUCAGAUUUUGUCUCUACAUAUCUGCAACGAAUUAAAGAUGUUAGAGAUCAUAUUUCUAUAGUUGGUGUUACAUUUGAAGAUGACGAUAUUGUAAUUUUGGCAUUGAAAGGGCUCCCUUUUAAGUACAAUACUUCUAGGACAGUUAUAAGGGGUAGGGAGAAUGUUAUCAUUCUUAAAGAGUUUUGAUCCCAGUUACUGGCAGAAGAAGCAACUAUUAAGCAUAAUUCUACCUCUGAGCUUUUUGUUACUGCAAUGGUUGCACAAGACAAACAAGGCAAAGGCAAAGCUUUCAUGCCCGGAGAAGGGUCUUCCAGGGGCUCUUCAUAGUCUACCAAUUACAAUGGUGGUUCCCCAAAUUAUAAUGGAGGCUAUACUACAAAUGGUUUUCGAGGACGUGGUAGGGGUAGGAACAACUUCCAUUUGAGGUACAAUCCAUGAUCUCCAAAUCCAAUUGCUGGAAUUCUUAGCCCUGCAAAGCCUCACAUUUCAACUUGUCCAGAACAUGGCUAUGAAGUUCUUAUCUGUUAGAUAUGCAAUAAAAGAUGACAUAUUGCUACAGAUUGUUUCCAAAGACACUCUUCUUCAACUUCUAACACAUUAAAAGUUCAAUGCCAAAUUUGCUGGAAAUUUGGGCAUAUUGUAGCUCAGUGUUAUCACAGAGGCAACUUUACUUUUCAAGGCAAGCCUCCAUCUUCUAAUCUUUCUGCAAUGCAUACUACAUUUCAACCAUCUGCACCACAUGAGCAAUUAUGGGUUGCUGAUACUGGAGGAAAUUCCCAUAUGACUUCAGAUCUCUCUAAUCUCAAUUUGGCAGCACCAUUUUUUGGUAAUGAUUCAGUUGCAACUGCAAGUGGCUCAGGUUUGCUAAUAUCUCAUAUAGGCUAUUCUACUCUGCAUACACCUCAAUAUGCUUUUAAGUUAAAGAAAAAUUUACAUGUGCCUCAAUUAUCACAACAUCUGUUAUCUAUAUAUAGAUUGUGUAAAGAUAACAAAUGUAGAUUCAUUUGUGAUGAAUUCUGUUUUUAGAUCCAGGACAAUAUCACAGAGACCAUCCUUCUUCAGGGACAGUGUAUAGGUAGCCUCUACCUAUACCCUUUCAUAUUCCAUAACAUCUCAUUUCACAAACACAUAAAUACAAUGUAACUUUUCAGCAAAAAAGCUGCUAUCUUGGUUAUCAAGUCAAAAUAAACAUGUGGCACCAAAGAUUAGGACACCCUUCUAACAUUGUCACUUCUACAAUGUUAAAAUAGUAAAAAAUUCCUACAUCUUUAGAUCAUGUGUCUUCUGUUUGUAAAUCCUGUUUGGAAGGCAAGUUUGCCAAACUUCCAUUUACCUUUCCUGCAUAUAAAAUUGUAAAGCCUUUAGAGGUAAUGCACAGUGAUGUUUGGCGUCCUUCAUCUACUGUUUCAAUUGAAGGUUACAAAUUCUAUGUAAGCUUUGUGGAUGAAUGUACUAGGUUCACCUGGAUUUUCCCUUUAAUGAAUAAAAGUGAAGUUUUUGGUGUUUUUGUACAUUUUCACAGCUUCUUGGUUACUCAAUUCUCUGCAACUGUGAAAGUUUUUCAAAGUGAUGGUAGUGAUCAAUACACCAGUCACAAAUUCAAAAACUACUUACUAGAUAAAUGAAUCAUUCAUCAAAUGUCAUGUCCUUAUACUCCCCAACAGAAUGGUCUAGCUGAAAGGAAUCAUAGACACAUUCUUGAAACUGCCAUUACCUUGUUGCAAACUGCCAGAUUACCCCAUACAUUUUGGUUCCAUGCUUGUGCCAUUUCUAUUUACCUUAUUAAUAAGAAGACAUGUCCAACACUUCAUACGUCAUCUCCUUUUACCUGUUUAUUUGGCACUCUUCCUUCUAUAUCUCAUCUCAAAGGGUUUGGUUGUGCUUACUUUCCUUUCUUAAAACAGUAUAAUUCUAGUAAGUUGCAACCUAAGACUUCAUAGUGUAUUUUCAUACGGUAUGUAGGUCAAUAUGAAGGUUAUCUUUGUCUUAAUCCACUUACAAACAAAAUCUUUGUCUCGAGACAUAUUUUGUUUGAUGAGAUAAGUUUUCCUUAUUCAUCUAUAAUUGCAUCCAACAUCACAUUGUCCAGUUCUGCAUCCACAUCAACAUCAAUGUAUAAACCAGUUCACCCUUCACUAGUUGAUUCCCAAAACACUGUCCUACCAUCUAUACCCUAUCGAGCCUCAAAGUUUUCAGUCUUUACUACCCCUAGUGCCUCAGUGUUUUCCACAUCUCAUUCCACUAGAGCUUCAGAAUGUUUAAAUUCAAGUUAUAUUACACUACAACAGAUAUGGAAUUAAUUAUAAAAGCUACAUAAUCCCCAGUCCCUAUUGAUCCGAAUUUUCAACCUGAAAAUCUAUCCAUUAUCCUUCCCAUACCAUCAGUAAGUUUGCAUCCUAUGCAAACACGAUGCAAAAGUGACAUAUCAAAGAAGCAAGUGUUCUCAACCACAGUUCAGGUUCCUGCAACGGUUUUAGAAACUACAACCUUUAAGUCUGCCAAUAACGUGCCUGAAUGGAUUGCUGCAAUGGAAGAAGAAAUCACAGCCUUGAAGUCACAUCAUACUUAGUCUUUAGUGCCACUGCCACCUCAUAAGAACCCGGUAGGUUGCAAGUGGGUGUAUAGAGUCAAAACCAAUCCUGAUGGUUCAAUGGCAAGAUAUAAGGCUCGCUUAGUUCCUAAAGGGUAUAGUCAAGAUAAGGGUAUUGAUUACACUGAGACCUUUAGUCCUGUACUGAAACCUACAACAGUUAGAUUGAUUUUGGCAUUGGCAGCUCAAUUCAAAUGGUCAUUACGACAAAUGGAUGUGAAGAAUGCAUUUCUUCAUGGUGAUUUACAUGAAGAAGUGUAUAUGUCUCAACCACAAGGCUUUGAAAGUACAGAACAUCCUUCUCACUAUGUUUGCAAGUUGCAUAAGUCUCUUUAUGUCUUGAAACAAGCUCAUCGAGCUUGGAAUGAAAAAUUUACAAGUUUUUACCAAGUUUGGGUUUUAAAUCUUCUCUUGCAAAUCCAUCUCUCUUUGUGCAACACAUUAGUCUUGGCACUGUUGUAUUACUUCUUUAUGUGAAUUGACAAGGUAGUUCAAGCUUUAACUUAGGAGUUUGAAAUGAAAGACUUGGGGCAAUUACAGUAUUUCUUGGGGUUACAAAUAACAUAUCAGAAUGAUGGUUUUUUUGUUUCACAGUCAAUGUAUAUUAGAGAUUUACUUGAAAAGGUUGAUCUACAAGAUUCAAAGCCUUGUGCAACACCAUGUUUUCCAUAUCACAGGUUGUCUAAAACUGAGGGCACUCAUUAUCACAGUCCACAACAAUAUCACAGCAUUGUAGAAGCUUUACAAUACUUAACCUUUACUCAGCCUGAUAUUGCUUUUUCUGUGAAUUAGUGUUAUCAGUUCAUGCAUAGUCUCAUGGAUACUCAUGUUGUGGCUAUUAAGAGGAUUUUACGAUAUCUGCGUGGUACUAUGGACUAUGGUCUUCGAUUUCAAUCAGGAUCCUUAAAGUUGCAGGCUUAUAGUGAUGUGGAUUAGGCAGGAGACCCCAAUGAUCGACGAUCUACUUCUGAUCACAUUGUUUAUCUUGGUUCCAAUAUGAUAUCUUGGGCCUCUAAGAAGCAACACACUGUCUCUCGGUCCUCUACAUAGGCUGAAUAUCGAGCUUUAGCCAUUGCCGCUACUAAGUUAGCAUGGUAAGGUAGUUGUUAUGUGAUAUAUGUGUACCUAUUCUACUUGCUCCAGCCAUUUAUUGUGACAACAUUUCUACAAUUGCUUUAUCAUCUAAUCCUAUUUUUCACUCAAGGAUGAAACAUAUUGAAAUCGAUUACCAUUUUGUAAAAGAGAGAGUCAUUCGAGGAGAUCUGCAUGUCUCUUAUGUGUCUUCAAAAGAUCAGUUUGCAGAUAUUUUGACCAAUGGUCUUUCUGCACUUUUGUUUCAACAUCAUUGUUUCAAUCUUAUGCUUGGCUCAUCCAAGCAUAUGAUUGAGGGGAGAUGUAAAGAUAUAGAGCCACCAAAUGGUGACAAGUGUCAACAGAUAGAUGAAUGAGUUUUUUAAGUCGGUUAGUAGUAGUUUACUUAGUGUGUAAGGAAACUUAUUCAUAUAUUGUAGCAUCCCACAUCGCCCAAAGGUGAGGAUCCUAUAAGCCUUAUAUGUAUAUUCCCAUCUUUACCUAGCACGAGGCCUUUUAGGAGCUCACAACAUCCCACAUCGCCCAGGGGUGAUAAUCUUGUAAGCCUUAUAUGUAUAUUCCCAUCUCUACCUCACAUGAGGCCUUUUGGAAGCUCACUGGCUUCGAGUUCCAUCGGAACUCCGAAGUUAAGCAAGUUCAUGCGAGAGCAAUCCUAAGAUGGGUGACCCACUGAGAAUUUCUCGUGUGAGUUCCCAUAAAAAAAAACCGUGAGGGCGUGAUCUGGGCCCAAAACGGACAAUAUCGUGUUACGGUGGAGUCGAGUCCGGGAUGUGGUGGGGGCCCAGGCCGGGAUGUGACAUAUAUAUACUUGUACUGUGAGUUGUAACAAUUAUUCAUUCAAUACAAGAAGAUAAUUCAGUGCUACGGCAGAGUCGAGCCUAGGAUGUGGUGGGGGCCCGGGCCGAGAUGUGACAAUUUGGUAUCAGAGCCAAUCCCUGACCGGAUGUGUGCCGACGAGGACAUCGAGCCCUUAAGGGGGGUGGAUUGUAACAUCCUACAUCACCCAGGGAUGAGGAUCCUGUAAACCUUAUAUGUAUAUUCCCAUCUUUACCUAGCACGAGGCCUUUUGGGAGCUCACUGGCUUUGAGUUCCAUCGAAACUCCGAAGUUAAGCGAGUUCGCGCGAGAGCAAUCCCAGGAUGGGUGACCCACCGGGAAGUUCUCGUGUGAGUUUUUAGAAACAAAAUCGUGAGGGCGUGAUCGAGGCCCAAAGCAGACAAUAUCGUGCUACAGUAGAGUCAAGCUCGGAUGUGGUGGGGGCCCAGGUCGGGAUGUGACAUAUAUAUACUUGUACUGUGAGUUGUAACAAUUAUUUAUUCAAUACAAGAAGAUAAUUCAGUUGUACUUCUCUCUCUAGAUUACAUAGAAACCGCCAUUGAUGUUCUUCACAAUAUGUAGCUUAACAGAAACUCGUAUCACUGAGUGAGACAUAUGAAGGUUAGAUCUUGCAUACAACAUUAUAAUGUUUGCAAUAGAAUUAAAACUACAAGAUGAAUUAAGUCUCUUCUCACGUAAAACCUUACUGAGGGAAAAAUAGAGGGAUAUCCAUUAAAGAAGAAGAAAAGGCAAAAGUCUUUGCCUCAAAAAACGGCACUUUUAACAUACCAAUUUUAUUGAUCACAGAUGCAUAACAAUAAGAGUACUUCUUCAGCUCUUUUAUGCAAAACAUUAUCUAAACAACUCUAAUAUACGCAUCUAGAACAAAAUUAGAUUUCAAGUGCAAGAGGUAGCACACACUGCCUGACCACUGGCCUACGCACAUCUACUUUACUAUAAAACCAACAACUAUUCUUUGCUACUAAAGGCCAUCAGUUACAAAUAGCAGUUCAAACCUCCUCCUCUCAUUGACCCUUGCAAUGAAAUCAUCAGCUCUUUGGUUUAAUUUCUGAUCUUCAUCAGGUAAAUUGAGCUCAUCAUCAUCUUCAUCUUCAUCUAAAUCCUCUUUCACCUCCUCCAUUACUUCCUCACUUUCUCCAGCCAGUCCUUUCUCUUCUACAGCUUCUAAUAAAUCUCCACAAGUCCUCUUCAGCACUACCCUUUCUUCAUCCAAAAGAGUAUUCAAGGUCUUGAGUUCCCUUUCUUGGUAGCCGGAAUAGCUCUGCUGGCUUUGGAACCUUUUCAUACUUUCGUAUUGAUCAACAAUAUUAGAUGUCGAAGUCCCUGUAGAAAAGAUUUUCGAUUCUCCUAUAAGGGCAACAACAAUGAGAUUCCCUAGAAUGAACACAAACUUGGAGCUCAAGAAUACUGAACUGAUUUUCGGGACGGUAACGAGGACAAAGACCAUCAUGGAAGAAGAUACAGAGGGAAGCCACAAAGGGCUAAAACAAAAUAAACUGCAAAUUAAUGCAGUAAAAAUAUGAAGGAAGAAAUUGCUCAAAGGAUGAUGGUGUUUCUUGUGUUUGUGGACUGCUUGGAACUUCAGUAACUUGAUUGGAUCCAUUUGGGGGUUAUAAAUUCAACCUAAAAAGGAUGGAGUAAGAGGUAAUUCUAAUGAGGAAGAGCUAGCUCAAUAACCAAUCUCAAAAAAAAUGAGGGAGGUUUUCAUCUGCUUGACCAUUGGGCAUUUGCAAACACUGGUUUAUAUAGUCGGUGAAAUGGGGUUAAUUUGGUAAUUAAGAUUCAUCAUACUCUUUAUAUUUUACUUUAUAUGAGAGAAGGUGACUUUUAAAAAGUUAUGGGGAGAUUGAUUAGUGUUUAUUGGUUACUUUUAUUUUUCAGGCUAAGCUAACUUUGCUUUUCCCCUGCUUGCAAAUUUUUAAUAAAAACUAUAAGGAUUAACAUGCUCCCAGUACACAAAAACCUGGGACUGAAGAAAUCUAAUUCUGGGUUCAUCAGAGACAGUCAGUCAGCGAGAUCAAAUUCAUGCAAUUCAACAGACAUCAAUAGCAGCCAAAUUAUUGGGUUUUUACUUUUAAUAAACCUCGACCGCACGAGAAGAAAAUUAAGCGCUAAAAGCUUGUUUAAUUAAGGUUUUAUUUGUGCAAUGAGUCUGCAUGUUUAACUUACAAGGCCUUUGAAUCAGCUUCGUAGAUUAUGCAAAUGAAUGAGUUUCGGGACUUCAUGUUGGGUGGGCGUUUGGGGAAUAGAUUCCCUUUGUUCAUCAACAUUAUUAAAGGGGGAUUACUAGUAGUCCACGUAAAAAGCAUAUGCAUAAUUGUAUCAUUUCCUUCUUUUCCUCGAUCUUUGUUGGCUUUUCCCUCUCAUAAUUCCUCAACUAGAUGGGACAUUGUUGAGUGGAACAAAAAAGGGAACCCAUCAGAGGAGAAAAUAUGCCAUGUCACAAGUUUUACUCAAUAACGUAUCUUACAUCUCUCCGAUGACUACACGCAUGAGAUAUUUAGAAACAUAAUUGUAUGUAGUCGGUUAAAUAUAAAAAUUCUAGUGGAGAGAUGUGAGAAAUGUUAAUUAAGUCUAAUUGUUGUAAAAUCGGUGGUAUGUGUGUAAUGGAAUAAAUGAAAUAAGACACAAUAUUUAUGAUGUUCCUCUACAGUUAGUGUGACUGGAGUACGUCAUCGGGGUAGCAGUGGUGCUUUCAUUCAUUAUCUAGAAUAAUAGGAGUAUAAAAAUAACUCUCUUUAUUCUCUCCUCUCUUCCUCUCUUAUUCCUCUCUUUGAUGUUGUCUCCUCUUCUUACACCUUGGCCUUCCUUAUAUAGGAAAAUGAAUAGGCAAGAUGUUAAAUCAAUACCUAACAUACUCACUUAAUGCCUUCACCUACUACACCCAUUAAACCUUUACCUAUUACUCCCACUACAUAGUGGACAUCCAUAUUUACCAUGCAUUUUUACAACACUAAUGGCUUUCUUUGCAAGUAAUUAGUCAUUGAAAAUAGCUUUCUUAGGUAAUGAAAGCGCCAGGGCUGCUUAUUAGAUAUGUAUGUGGAAGAUCUUGUUUCAUUUUAUAUGAAAUCUGGGUAGUUAAUUGAGCACAUAUCUCGUUUUACAUUGGUGGAUAAAUGAUAUGAACCCUUUGAGGAUCCAAAACAACACCAUAGCUCGUCUCUUCCCUUCCACUUUUCCAUUUCUCUCAAUAUUAUAAAUAAUCAAACAACAUGAUAUAAAAGAGUAAACAUACAUGCAUUAGUUUUUUAUUUAAGAUAGGUUUAUUCACACAUAUAUUUUUACUUCUCAUACACCUUUGUUAAUUUUUGUUCAUUGAUUUUCUUCAAUUCAUUCAAUUUGACGAGCGAAAAUUAAAAAGAGUGUGAGAAGUAAAAAUAUAUGUGUGGAUUACAUUUUUUUAAGGGUUUUUUAGAUAUAGGCCAUUGAAACUCCUAUUUUCCAAAUAAAAACCCACCUAAAUUUAAACAUUCAAAUAAAACCCAAAUUUCAAAUAAACUGCCAUGUAGACAAAUAUAUGACCAACUAUUACAAUACAUUUACAACUUAUGCCACAAGAUCCUAAUUUGGUCAAUAAAUGUUAUUACUCAUCCUAAUUAUGAUGAGCAAUUAAAUCCAUAUGAAUAUUUUACCUUUCUUGUAUCAUAAAUAUUAGCAACAUAUAUAAAUUAAUUUACCAAAUUAAAAAAAAAAGACAUAUCUUGUACAGAAAAAAUAAUAUUGUUUGAAUCAUGUAAUUACCUACAUACAAAUUAAUUUACCUACUUAUAAAAUAUUAUACUAAUUUACCUGCAUUUUGAAUCAAGUAAUUACCUACAUACAAAUAUUAUACUAAUUUACCUACUUGUAAAAUAUUAAAUUAUUUUACCUACUUGUAAAAUAUUAUGCUAAUUUACCUACAUUUAAAUUAAUUUACCUAUUCCAAAAAAAAAAAGUGAUAUUAGAUAAUGUUCGAAUGAUGUCUUGUAGGUAAUUAAAUAAACUUUUAAUCUAAUGCACAUAAAUCAUGUAGGUGAAUUAGACAAUUUUGGAAGUAAAUUAGACCUUUUAAAUUUUGGUUUGAUGGAAUAGGUAAAUUAGACUAUUUUGAAAAUUGCGCGGAACAUAUAAUUUUUGUCUUGUGUAUUAGGGAUUGGAGUAUUAGCCGAAGCUGUUUUAGGUUUAUUGUUGUGUUGGUAGGUAAAUUAACUUAUAUAUUUAAUGCACAAAAUUAUGAAAUUAGUAUUAUUAUUUUUAAUCGGCACUAUAUAACAAUUUGAAAGUUAAUACAUUGAAUAUACAAUUAAUGGCAUGAAUUAUUUUUUAAAAUACAUAAAAUUAAUUAAAUGGAUAUAACAAGUAACUGAUCCAAAAAUCAUCCAAGUAUUAAUAGGGGUAGUUUAGGCAUUCGGAAAAUACACAAUUUGAAAAGUAAAACUUAAUUAAAGAAUAUGUUUAGUUGGAGGCUAGUCAAUGGGCUUCAGAAACCAAAAGGUGAUGGAUUUUAGUAAAUAAAAAUAUAGUUUCAAGGGGUAAUAUCAAAUUUUCAGAUUUUUUUAACAGCCAACCUUGGUGUCUUAAAGUUAUGCUAUAAUGCUUUCUUAUAUCUUAAAAAACACAUGAAGAUGGGGAUUUCUUACUUUUUGGUGCCUAAAGAACCGAAAGCUUUUAUGAACUUUUGGGUGUGUUUCUUUCUACUUCUUGGCUGCCCACAUGCAUCGCAUAUGUACGUAUAUAUGUACGUCUAUUCAGUACAGAAUAGUACAAGCACGCACCAAAUACCUUUCGAUAUUAGCAUGACGGGAAAAUGCAGAUUUAUUUAAUAUGCCAAUUCCUUUCACACACAUUUUCAAACACAUCGAUUGAUAAGAAAGAAAAAUUGGGAAUUAGCUAAGAUGAUUGAAAAUUAAAUCUCAAUUGAAUAGCUGAUUAAAUUAAAUAAUCAAUAAUAUAUAUAUAUAUAUAUAUAUAUAUAUAUAUAUAUCAUAUUGGAAGCUUAAUAUUCAAAGGUUGAGAACAUAGUGAUUAAUUAUUAACGAUACCGAAACAUUAAACAUUUCAACAAUUGAAAUUUGAAAAAUGAUCAUUUUCACCAAUUUCUUAAGAAAAAUAGAACAAACCCCAACAAGCGCGGGUCAAAAAUCUUUAUUGGCUCACCGCUGUCGAUUUCGAGAAGUUCAUGCUUGGCGAUACCACUGGUGGUAUUUCACUCAACCACACAAGCAUUGUCAUAGGAGAAAAACUUAAACAUAUGUGAGUGUGCAAGCAGUUUGAAAUAAGCGCCACCAUAAUAUCCUAGAUACAUGUGAGCUUCUCUUCAAUAUUUGACAAGAUCCUUUUCUUUCUUCUCUUUUUUUUUUUUUUUAAUUUUUUAAAGUGUUUAGCAUUCAAGAUGGUACUCUACAUGUAAUAAUACAAGUGGAGGGAUACGAAAAAUAUAUCAUUUCCUCCACUUGUAUUAUGAUAUUGGAAUGCCACUUGAAUACCCAGAACUUAGAAAAAUCUCUCCUCCUUUUUUAUCUUUUGGGGAUGUAAUGUACAUCUUACAACGUGCCCUUCAAAUAUAGGGUUCACAAUUCACACAUAACUAACCAAGAAGCAAUUGGAAUGGUAAAUUUGAGACUAUCUUCUGGUUUUAUAUUAAAAUUAAAAUAUGUACUUUAUGUGCCAAAGAUGAAGAGAAAUUUGAUCCCUUCUUUUAGGAUUGUCAAAGAUGGUUUUGCUUUUCUAGGUGAUGAUGAAAGUUUGAAUUUUUUUUAAAAGAACCAUUUAGAUUGUGUUUUGGGAACUGCAUAUUUGCGUGACAACCUGUGGUGCCUGAAUUAUACUCUGGAGUCUAAUAAUUAGCAUGUUUUAAACACAAUCACUAAGAGGAUGCACUACAUUGAUGAUUCUUUCAUUCUUUGGCACAAAAGGUUAGGACACAUAUCCAAAGAAAGAGUUUUAAAGCUGUCGAAAGCUAAGUUGAUUCCUGAAUUGAAUUUUGCUACUGCAACUGAGUGUGUUGAUUGUGUCAAGGGCAAAAUGACUAAUUUUAGGAAAUUGGAUGCUAAGAGAACUCAUAAUUUGCUAGAAAAGCAAAACCAUCUCUGACAUAUGUGGUCAUUUUCCAACAAAAACCAUUUGUGGUAACUCUUGUUUUGUCAACUUCAUUGAUGAAAUACACUUAUUUAAUUAGUGAGAAGUCAUAUGUCCUUGAUUGUUUCAAAGUUUUUUAAAACUAAGGUAGAAAAACAAUUGGGAAAGACUAAAGAUUGUUAGAUCAGAUAGAGGAUGAGAGUACUUUGGUAGGUACACUGAGGCUGGACAACACAAGGAUCAUUUUGCUCUUUAUCUUGAACAACAAGGCAUUGUAGCUCAAUACACCGCACUUGGAACGCGACAACAAAAUGAGGUUUCAGAGAUGAGGAAUAGAACUUUGAUUGGAAUGGUAAGGAGUAUGAUGACAAGAUCAAAGUUACCAGGGUUUCUAUGGGGAGAAUCACUGAAAACAACAACUUAUAUACUGAAUAAAGUCCCAAGCAAAGCAGUUUCAUCUACACCUUUCGAAAUUUGGAAUGGUAGGCAGCCUAGUUUUGAUCACUUCCAUGUUUGGGGAUGUAAAGCUGAGACUCGAAUUUACAAUCCAAAUGAGAAGAAACUGGAUUCAGGGACUAAAUCAUGCCACUUCAUUGGCUACUCAGAGAAAUCUAAAGGUUUCAAGUUUUAUUGUCCUCAAGCUCACACCAGGAUUUAAGAAACUCACAAUGCCAAAUUCUUUGAAGAUCAAUAUGUUGCAAAAUUGUCACAAGGCAGAUUCCUUUCUGAAUAACCUGAUCAAAUUGAGAAUCCUUCUUGCAGUGAUGCUUACAAAGAGAUUUUAAUAACUCUUUCACCUGCAAUUGACUUGGAGGAAAAUCAAAUGGAAAUUCAUCCUAAUGUAGAUAGAAUGGAAGUUGAUUUUGGGUCUCAAUUAUAGCCAUAAGGGGAUCAAACUUCAAAUUCUGGAGUACAAUUAAAUCCUAGCACUUAAGUUCUUAAUGAACCAGCAGUCACGUUGAGACAGUCAACUCGAAUCAGAAAGACCACCAUGUCAAAUGACUAUGUGUAUUGCAGGAAAGUGAAUUUGAUUUCGGUGAUAUAGAUGACCCUCUCACCUAUUCACAGGCCAUAAACAGUCCUUAACAAGCUUUAUAGAACAUUGCAAUGAAAGAGGAGUUAAAAUUGAUGUCACAUAAUAAAGUAUGGACAUUAGUGGCUUCUAAUCCUCAAAUCAAGGUUAUAGGAUGCAAAUAGGUCUAUAAGACCAAGAAGAUGCUCAGGGCAAGAUUGAAAGGUACAAGGCCAAAUUAGUUGCUAAAGGUUUCACUCAAAGAGAAGAAGUUGACUACAAUGACACGUUUUCCCCUAUCUCUAUGCUCAGGGCAAGAUUGAAAGGUACAAGGCCAGAUUGGUUGCUAAAGGUUUCACUCAAAGAGAAGAAGUUGACUACAAUGACACGUUUUCCCUUAUCUCUUCCAAGGAUUCUAUGAGAAUCAUAAUGGCACUUGUUGCACAUUUUGACUUAGAAUUGCAUCAAAUGGAUGUGAAGACUACUUUUCUUAAUAGUGAACUGCAGGAAAACAUUUACAUGAAGUAGCCUCCUGGAUUUGUUAAAAGGGGGGAAGAAUAUAUGGUCUGCAAGCUAAAUAAGUCUAUUUAUAGACUGAAGCAAGAAUCGAGACAAUGGUUUUUGAAAUUUGAUCAAGUUGUUACAAGACAUGGCUUUGUGGAAAACAAAUUAGAUGAUUGCGUAUGCAUCAAAUGGUCAGGUUCAAGCUUCAUCAUUUUAGUACUAUAUGUUGAUGAUAUUCUCCUUGCAAGUUCUAAUAUGAAGCUCCUUAAUGACACCAAGGCCAUACUCAGUAAGAAUUUUGAGAUGAAGGACCUUGGAGAGGCAUACUAUGUGUUUGGCAUUGAGAUCAUUCGAGACAAGUCCAAAAGGCUACUUGGACUAUCACAAAAAGGUUAUAUAGAAAGAAUAUUGCUGAGAUUUAACAUGGAAAACUGUAAUAAUGGUGAAGUGCCUGUGAAUAAGGGAGACAAAUUCUCUAAAGCUCAGUGUCCCAAGACAUCAAUUAAGGUGGAUAAAAUGAAGAACAAGCCUUAUGCCUCAUUGGUGGGUAGUUUGAUGUAUACUAACAUUUGCAUAAGACCUGAUAUAGCAUUCAUAGUAGGAAUGUUAGGUAGGUUUCAAGAAAAUCCAUAAGAGUAUCAUUGGGUAGCUGCAAAGAAGGUUCUGAGGUACUUGCAAAGAACCAAUGGGUAUAUGUUGGUUUAUGGCAGAGAAGAGAAUCUAGAGCUAGUUGGCUAUACUGAUUCAGAUUUAGCUGGUGAUGUAGAUGACAGAAAAUCCAUAGGUAGCUAUGUGUUUAUGCUUGAGGGUGGUGCAAUUUCAUGGAAAAGUGCCAAACAAACUAUAAUAGCAACAUCUACAAUGGAGGCAGAGUUUAUAGCUUGCUUUGAAUGAAUGAAACAAGCUACAUGGUUAAAGAAUUUUGUGACUGAUUUGAAGGUUGUCAAUUUUGUGCAAAUGCCUGUUAAAAUGUACUGUGAUAACAAUUCUGCAGUAUUCUUUGCUAAGAACAAUAAGAGAACUUCAGCUUCAAGAUUGAUGGAUGCAAAGUUUCUUAAGGUUCGAGAAAAGGUUAGAGAAUGAGCAAUUCAGGUAGGACAUUUGAGUAUUGAUGCAAUGAUUGUAGAUCCUUUGACCAAGGCAUUACCAAUUGGAGUGUUUAAAGCUCUCUCGCAUGGGAAUUAUUGAAUCAUUUGAUCAGUAGGAGUGACUUGUUACAAAGUGAUUGUUCGAUUGCUGCAGUGAAGUUCAGAAAGUUGGUGCAGCAAUAUAGACAAGUUUUAUGUUUAAAUUUUAAAGUUAUGGUUGAUUAAAGCUAGUAUCAGUUUAGCUAGUCUUGUUUUCAGUUUGUUUUGUUUUUCGAAUUGGGAUAUGUUAUGAUGGUCUUUUGUUUUGAGAAAUAAAUUUGAGAUAGUUCGUUUGAUGCUUGAAUAAACAGUUUGUCUGUUUAAAGCAGUUGUUAUUGAAUUAUCAAUUCAUGCAUUGGUUGGAGCAAUUAUCUUAAAUUCUUGUUGUCAAUGGUGUGAAAUAGUGGUAGCAAAUUGCUUUGCUUGGUUAAUGAUGUUGAUCGAGUUCACAAUGAUAAAGAUACAAAUUGAAUGUAUGUAACUCUUGAAAACUGUUUUCCAUCAUGAUUAGGAUAAAGUUUCAGAGUUCUACAUUUUGAAAUGUAUAUACGAUUGGUUGUGAUUGAAAAAACUUUUGUUAACAGACUAAGUGAUCACUUCUAUCUAGGUAUGAUUGAAUAAACCGAGUACCUAAAAUUGUUCUCAUACUCAAGUGGAAGAAUGUAAGAAUAUGAAUAUGAGUAUGAGAUGGAGAGGUUUUAAGACUUGUUAUAGGUAUUCAAUUUGAUAGAAAGUCUUGUUGGUGAAAGGAAUGCUGAUCUUUGACAGAAAAGAAUUUUGUAUAGCAUUUAGAUCAGUUUUUAUAAGACACAGAAUUAACAAGUGCUUGGUUCCUAUGUGGAUUUUGAUAGGGAAUCCUAAUCCAUUUUGGUGAGGAUUAUAUGUAUAUAUAUAGUGGUCUCUCUUCUCAUAGAUGUAUUGCUUAUUUUUUGGACUAAAACCUAUCUGUAAGUUGAGGCCUUGAUAAUCUGCAAGAGAAAACCAUUGGAAGUUUGCUGAUAUGGCUUUGAGUUCUGGCACUGCUGCAGGUAUGUUUUCUUCCUAGUUUUCUUACACACAUGAAUUGGUUGAUUCACUUGAGGUUGUAGUUCAUGUUUCAGUCUUGGUGUUUAUGAAUUUCAUUCUAACAUUUUCCGAUGGCAUCGACCCUAGCUUCGGUCAGGGUCGGUUGCCGUGUCUUUUCUUUUCUCUUUUCCUUCUUCUCUCCAUGCCUCUACUGCUAUCUUUUUCCCAAUUGUCACUUUGGUCUCCCCAUUUCCUCUACUGCUAAAGGUAUACCUCUUCCCUGUUCAUCUUUGAUCUGAUCUUUAGCCAUGUUUCCUGAGGAGAUUGUGUGCAGAGUUUUGAUGUUUACACCGGCUGGGUUGUUACAACCAUUACUACUAUCUCCUUGUUGUUUGUCGAUUAUUCUGGCAUUGUCAUUCGUGGUAUCCACGAACUUCAUACUAAUAGUCGGCUCCGUUCAAUUAUUCAUUGUUUAUGGCUGUGCUUUAGUAGCAAGUCAGGUUUGGAGGUGGCAUCUGUGGAGGCGCUACUGCAUGGAGGAUGGGAAUUGGCCAAUGGACCUGUUUUAGAGGGUGGAGAUAGUUGUGGAAACUUCUGGCGGAAGCUGUUUGGUUUCUAGGCCUUACUAUUGUUGGGCCCUUUAUCUGUUUUACUUUUGUUUUAGGCCUUUUUUUGUUGUAAUUAACGUGUGUGUUGGGUCUUCGUUGUAAGGUGUUUUUUUGUAUAAUAAUAAUAAUCUCCUUUGACCAAAGAAAAAAAUCAAAACAAAAGCUUUUGUGUUCAUCUUCUUCUCAAACAAAGAACACACUCAAAAUCAUAGGUACGAAACUUUUCUCUUUUUUUCGAAUUUUUAAAUAAAAUUCCUGCUGUUUUAUUGAAAUCGCACCUCAUUGGACAAUAAAAGGCCGAAUGGAAAGGAAUUGUUCGACAGAAAAAAGAUAGAACACAUAGGUUUUGAAAUAAAAUUAAAGGAGGAUCAAUUUAAUCUUAGACAUCUAUCUAGAAGAGAAGUAUUACUGGACUAACAAAAGCUGUUUAGCAACUAGGGGAUGUGCUUCACAACCAAAACUUCUACAAACCAAACCAAACCAAAUAAGCUUUUGUUUAAUAUAAAUUCACGAUAUUUUUAGCAACAUUCUCUCGUACAUGCCCACUAGAUCGCCAUCUUUUUUGUGCAACUAAUGAUACCUAAACAAAAUUUGCAAAACAAGAUACAAUUACAAUGUGGUAAAAUAUCACCUUAGUAACGGAAAGUUUUUCCAAGCAAACCUGUUAAACAUGGAAAUCAAAAGGCAGAAAAUGGCAAACCACGUAUUGACUGGGAAGUAACUGCCACGAAAACUAAAAGAACUUAAUUAUUCGAUAGCCAAAGACUAACUGUACGUUUUCCAUUUCAACCUAAAAGGUAACUGUGUAAAAAUCAAGACCUCUGUACGCGAGAGAGGAGGGCAUAUGCAUGAUGUGUCCCAGCGGCCGGCUACCCCCUGUUGGUCGUAGGUGGUGGUUGUGUUUUUCGUGUGAUAUCUUGUUUCUGGAUUUCACUGUUAUAAUUUACGUAUUUGUAUUAUUGAGAUUUUAUAUUAUUUCUCAAGAAUUUAUUUUAAUUUGUUUGAAUUUAGAUUUUAAUUAAACUAGUUACGAAGUUUGACGUUUGGAAAUUAAAAAUCCGUAGACCUUUCGAGGUCACAAUUUAUAUUUUCGAAUAGAUCUUGAAACCACGAACAUAAAGGCGAAAGCCGUUUACGAGUCCGGAUUAUAACGGUAUAGUUACAGACAUUUGAAGUUGUUUUACUAAAUUAUAGAGUUUAAAUCAAUUAAAUUUCCACAAGGAAGAAGCCUAAUCAGAUUUAAGCAAAAAUAAGAGGACCAAUCAGUUAGAAGGAGAAGAACCAAUCAAAUUAAAGGGGGAAGGUUUCAAAAAACAAAACAAAAAAAGAAGAGAGGGGAAGGGUCUAAUUCUAACCCGUUUUGGGAGGAGAUUGGACCCAUUAACCCACCAACUUGACCCGCUUGUAUCUCCUCCGUCCGAGCUCUAUUUUGGGUGAUCUUGGUGUCCAUGGAAAGCUUUUGACGAGGCCUACAUCUCUGUAGUGUUAGAUUUCCCAUUUUCUUUUCCAUCUUGGCUGUUCGAAGCCACAAAGCCACGACUUUUCCAGUGAUUCCGGCAACCAUUUCCUUCGAGUGAGAUAUGAAACUUCAUCUACUCUUCAUAAUCUUCAAGUUGGUAUAAUUGGUUUGUGCUUUCAUAUUCAUUUUAGAGUUGGGUGUUUAGAACCUUAAAAAUCCAGUUUUCUUCGAUGAAUUUGGACGGUUUCCGGUUAGAAUUUAUCAUCAUCCUAGUUGUGAAAAGUGUUUCCCUUGUUGAACUCUAACUACCACGUAAAUUUGAGCUCAUUUAGUUAAUGUGAAAAAUUCAGGUUUUCUAAACCCUCCACCUAGGCUACUACCAUGUGUGGUGAUGCGUGGGACUGUCCACGAGUGUUGUCUAGGUACCAAAUACCUUCUAAUGAUCCUAUGAACCUAUGUCUAGCUCGGUUUCCCGAAAUUCAAUUGUUUGGUGUGGUGAUCAAAUUGGACCACCACUUGUUUGUGUGAUUGAUGACAAUCCGAUCGUUGGAUCAUCGUACAAUUUUGUGAGCACCCUAGUUAUUAAUUGUUAGAGCUUUGAGAACUUAUGGAUCGGAAAUCCGAUAUGUGCAUUUUCCGGAUUGAAUAAUCUUAUAUUGUUGACCUUAAUGGACAUACCUAAUCGACGAUUGACUUUCUAGUCAACGUGCUCUAUUCUAGAGUGUCGUUUAUCUCUAGUUUGUUGUUGAGGCUUGCUGGAGCUUAGUUGGCUCAUCACGAUGAUGUGUCGUUUCCAAUUGACGUGUGUCUUGAUAUAUGUUUUAGUGGCACCAUAUUGAGUUAUACUUGUUUAUUAAUUAUGCUUUCUAUUGAAUUGUAUUUUUAUUUUUAGCAUCGAUCUAUGUUUAUUAAUUGUGAUUCAACUGUAGCUUGGAAAUGUUUAUGAAAUGUGGUUAGAUAUGUAUGAUUAGUAUGAUGUGUAUGAUUGUUUUUAUGACGAUGUGAACCCAGAAUCUUAUGAGAAGUAUUAUGUAGAACUUUUAUGCUUGUAUGAUAAGAUAGUUAGUGGUCAUGACAAGUUGAUAGUGCAAGUGAUUACGAUGUAAAUCAUAGUGGAUGAGAUAAGGGUAAGUGGUUUGUGUGUUGAUCUAACUGCACCAUGUAGCAGUGGUACAUGGAUGGUCCUGCUUGGUUAAUCCAUGUUGGGGGAAAAUACUAUUUAUGAAUCAUGUUGGUUAAUCCGCGUUGGGUGAUCCUUAUGGCCAUGUAUGCUUAGGAGUGAUCACGCUUGGUUAAUCUGCGUUGGGUGAUCACUACUUAACAGUUCUAUAGGUGUGACUUUGCUUGGUUAAUCCGCGUUGGGGGGUCACUACCUACCUGAUUAUCUUAACCCUACUUGGUCAAUCCGCAUUGGGGGGUCACUAAUGGUCCUGCUUCGUUAAUCUGCAUUGUGGGACCAUACUAUAUAUGGAUCACGCUUGGUUAAUCCGCGUUGGGCGAUCCUUAUGGCCAUGUAUGCUUAGGAGUGAUCAUGCUUGGUUAAUCUGCGUUGGGUGAUCACUUCCUAACAGCUGUAGGAGUGACUUUGCUUGGUUAAUCCACGUUGGGGGGGUCACUGCCUACUUGAUUACUUUUUCAUGGUGGCUUUGCUUGGUUAAACCGAUUUGGGGGGCCACUUCCUGUUUAGUUACUUAUGUAGGCUUCGGCCGAACUGCGUCCCUCUAGCCCUAGUUUUUUUUAUGUACAUAUGAAUGAUGGUUUUGAGAAUCUUGAGGUUUGAAUUAGAAAAGUCGUUGGAUGUCUGGGUGACUUCUUCAGAGUUUGCAACGACUUGAUUAUGAUUUCAUAAAGCAUGAUUCUAUGCUCAAUGUUUAUAAAUUGUGAUCGAUGGUCGUAUUAUUGUCACUCACCCAAGCCUUGUAAUUUAUCCAAGUGUCUGAUUGGCCCAAUGUACCAUUUCCAUGAUGUAGGCAUUGACUUUACAUGUGACAGAUCUGAGUAGAUUACGAGAAACCGCUUGAUAUUUUUGAUUCCGUUGAGUGAUCCAGAAUCCUUGCUCUUGCUCAUUUCCACAAGGUUAGUCUAGAAUCCUAGAUUCGAGCGAAGGGAAUUACCCGCACUAGACCUUGUGAAUAUAAAUUAGAUUUACCAUGUUUAUUACUUAUAAUCCAAUUUGGGAAUUAUAUAGAGUUCUUUAAUUAGAUUCAUAAAAUGAUAUGUUAUCACAUUGUUUGAUUAACGUAAUUAAAUGCUAAGAUCAUGCAUCUUUAAUUCAUGAAUUGUUUAAUUGACGGGAUUGUGGAAUGACGUUGAAUAUGAUUGUUAUUAUUAUGAUUAUUUUAGUUGAUCAAGGUAGCUUGAGAUUAAUACUAUGCUUCGUUGGUUAUUUGAUAUGUUACAUGCUAUGGAUGUAUCACGUUGAAGAUAAAGUGAAUGAUGUGAUAAUUGUUCGAGUGUAAUGUAUGACGAACUACGAAUGAAUUAAUCCCUAUUGAGGAUACGUAGGCAGUCUAACGAGAAGGUUAGAUGCAGCCAUAAGAUAUACGAAAAAUCACUAUGAAAUUUGACUAUGGAGUUGUAAUUUGCCAUAUUCCAGAGGUGGAACAAGUUUGAGAUACGAGUUUUGGUGAUGUCACGUGUCGAUCCUAGGCGUAUGUUGGGAUCGGGCGUGACAGUUCGUCUAGCGAGAUAUCAGUCUGUUUGCAAAUAAGUGGGUUGGUGGGUGUGCUUAAGGGCAAUUUGGUGACAAAAGUGGUGUUCAUAGAAAAAAAAAAAUUAAAGUUCAAAUUAACUUUUUAAUGGGUAGUAGAAAGAAAUUGGGGUGAACUUAGAUAGGUUCGUUGUCUUUGACCUUGUGUAUGGGAUCAUCAAUGGUGUAGGGUGGAAGAGAUUAGGAGGCCUCCUCAAAUUUCGAAAGAUCGUGACCAAUGAGAAAAUGCUUGAUUUGGCAAAAAGCCAGAUUGUUGAUUUCAACAAGUUUGACGAAGUAGGUGGUACUGAGGCCAGAGAGAGAGGAAGAGACAAGACAACCCUAGAAAGCUAAGAGAGGAGACGACAAGGAGGAGAGAAACCAAAAAAUUUGCAAAACCCCAAGACCUAUUUAGGCUGAUACCAGAGAAUUAUGAAUCCUUGAACUAAUUUAGGCUGAUACCACAUCAAGAAACUGUUUACGGAGUAAAAAAAUUGAAGUUAAAGGAUUCUAUUUUAACACUAUCAGCCUAUAGGCCAACUUUAUCAUGGCCACCUCUAUAUGGAGGAUAUCUUCUUACUUCGUUAUAGAACCCGAGCUUUGAAGACUGUUUCUUUCGUGAAUGCAACAAUGCAAUGGAGGUUCAUUGGGCCAUUUGGCACUUUGGUAUAUCCAAUAGACAUUUUAGCUAAAAUAAUCAUGGAGAUUUGCAUAACACAACAUUUUGGUCAUUGAAAUUUGAAAUCAAUAGAAGUGGUCUCUGAGAUUGUCCACCAUCAAUCAUUUUGAUAUUUGUGUGCAAAAUCAUGUUAAACAAUGAUUUAAAUGACAAAUAUUACUCUCAAUUUAAUAAACAAUAGACUAAAAUAAUUUGCCAAAAAUUAAAUAGUAUUUUGAUCAUUUUAUUCUUAUUUAAUAAAGAUUUUUCAUGGAAUGAUCAAAAUGAUUGAUAAUGGACAAUCUUAAAAAUCAAUUCUAUUAAUUUCAAAUCUCAAUAAUCAUUUUGAUUAAAAAAACUUAUCCAAUAAAUGUUUCUCACCCCCUUUUUAGCAACAUAAUUUAGUGUUUAAAAAAAAAAUCAGAAAAACGAUGAAUUUUUUAUUUGCAAUUUUUUUUUUCACUUAUUUAUAAAAAUAUUACUAUUUUAAAGUGUCAAUAUUAAUUUUCAAAGUAUUAAAGUUAACUUAAAAUUUUCCAAUCCCUUCCUACUGUGUAACAAGACUUUCAUGCAGUGAAAUAUGAUUUAGUACGAUACUUCAACUUAAAACACAUUGUUAUGUGACAAAAUACAACGUAUCAUACUAAAUAUUAAUUUGAAACACCAACACGGUAAAUACUUUUAUCGUGAUAAGUUUCUCUUUUCAUAACUAUUUCUGUUUCAUAAUUAUCUGCGAGUUGAAAGUUGGAUUUGGAUCUGACGUAGACGGUUGAAACAUGGUCCCAGAAAAUGAGUUUCUCUUGUUUCAUAAUUAUUUGUGUGAAUGGGUCCGGAAGAGACACAUGACUAAAGUAAAUUAGGUGGUGGAUUAUUAUCGACCAAGUAGCGUACAAAGAGCUGAAUAAAAGUCAAACAUUACACACUAAUGAAAUGAUCACCAAGUACAGUGGAGAUCAUAUGCACUACAGAUGGAGGAACACAGGAGCAUCAAAGUCAUCUACUUUAGAAGUUGUACAUGGAAAACAAGUAAAGUGAAAGGCCGAAAGUGUAAGACAAGAAAGGAAAGGUUGAAGAACUUCCAAUCAGUGCACCCAUCCACACCAGUCAGCUAGGGAAAUUAGAUUGCUUUCUCUGCCUUUUUCAAUAGGCCUCCUGCUCCUCCUUGCCAUUCACCAAACCAAGGAUUAAUUAAAAUAAUUAAUCGUAAACAUCAAUCUCAAAAGGUGUAAAAGAAGAAAAGAAAAGGCCCAUUUGAGAACUAAAAUAAGAACUCGAUUUUCGCACUCCAUAUUUUUUUACGAGCUUUUAAAUUGAAUAAAUCAAAGGAGAAUCAUGAGCUUUUAGAUUGAAUAAAUCAAAGGAGAAUCGAGCAUGAGAAACAAAUGAAUGCAGAACGAACGGAAUUUGGAAAAUGAAAUAUUAUCAAAGCUUGAAAUUAAGAAGAACUCACAUGCUUGGGGUUCAUGAACUGCACAAACUUGUUCUUUGCUUUGCCAGUGGGGGAUGAUGUUUUGCUGGAUUGGGGAUGGUUAUAUUGGGGAUGGUUAUUAAACCCUGCAUACUUUCUGACUUGAUCUCUCACAUAUCUCUCAUACAAGAAAGCUGCCCCCUUGAACUGUGGCAGAACCAACCAUGCCACAAACACAAGCUUCACAUUGUACCAAAUUGGUAACCUACAAAUAUUCCACCACCAACAAACUUAAUCACAAACUAGCAAACUUAAAUUAUGAUAAACUUAAACAAAAGCCCGUUCGAUAACCAUUUCAGUUUUUAAAGAAAGUGAAAAACAAAAUUGAAAAUUGAAAACGAAAAAAUUGAAAAUUGAAAAUGAAAUGGAUAAAUUUCUUAAUUUGUUCUUACAACUCAAGGGCUGGUUGGAGCACCAUCUCCAUGAGAGUGAGGAAAGAGUAAAUAAUCCAAUAGGCAAGCCACUGCUGAUCAUCUAGUUUGGAUGUGCUCUCUAUGGCUACCACUGAUGCAUAUCUACACUCAAAUCAUAUAAACAUAAAUGCCCAUUGCAACAAAAACCAAAAAUUAGUACAACUUCAUCUCCUUAUUGGGUUUCAUAAAAUUAAUCAAAAGAAAUAAACUUGAAGAGAGAUAGAGACAGAGAGAUGCUUACAAAGGGUAAAGCAACAUCAGCACUGGCCUGUAUAAAAUGUCAAGAAACUUUUGGGUCAGAUGACUGAUCAACCAGGAAAAAAAAAAAAAAACACAAAUUGGAAAGAAAAUCGAACCAAAAAUUAAGUAUUAAAAAAGCAAGAAAAUGAAGUUGUACCCAGCAACCGUGUGAAGUUGGGUAAGAAAGGUCCAAGCUUUUCCCAUUUUUUACUUUGUGGGUUCCAACAAAAACACCUAGAACUUGAAAACUGAAGAAAAAAAACUCGGAUGGAAAAAUCGGGUUGGUUGCAAAAAGUAGUCAGUCAUAAGGGUUUUAGUUCAGAAUUUCAGAGCAAGAUUGAAGAGAGUUGGUGCUGCAUUUAUAGAAUGGCAAGAAGGGGACACGUGGCAGGAGAAAAGCAAGUAUCGGAUUCUGCCUCAAGCGUGUCAAGGUGGAUUAACAUCGCCCAGUCCAGCGGUGCGGUCAGGUUAGUCAGGUGCGUGAGUGGCUGGAGGCCCUUGGGCUCCGUCAUUACCUCAAACGACACAAUGGCUUUGUGCUUUGCUCCAGACACAAGCCACGUAUUGGUGUUUUGUGGGUUUUCUGUAGUUUAAUCGAGGUCGGUCACACGUGCCGGAGGAUGAGGACAGACGACCCAAAUCUAAUAGUGUCAAAAGGACAUACUUUCUAUUUUUUUAUUGCAGGUCCGAUUGAGACGGUUCAUUCAAGGUGGGGUCAUGAUUUAUUGUGUUGUGAUGUCGGUGGUAAAUAAAGAAUCUCUUCCUGAGAGUUAUUUCUUCUGGCUAUUUAUAUCGGGUUUUAUAUAUUUAUUUAUAUAAUAAUUUAAUUAAACGAUUAUGGUUUUUUAACUUUUAUGUUAGUUUUUUAAGUUAAUUUUUAGAUGUGUUAAUCUUAAAUUUUUUUUAUGAACUCUUUAACCUAAAAAGUUCAAAUUGUGAUAAAAUUAGAUUUCAUUACUUAUAAAUCGUUUGUUAGAUGUGCUAUCUUAAAUUUUUUUUUAUAAACCUUUCAACCUAAAAAGUUCAAAUUGUGAUAAAGUUAUAUUUUAUUACUUAUAAAUCGUUUGUUAGAUUAGAUUAUGUUAUCUCAAACUCAUUCGUUGAAAAAAACAAAUCCUCACUUCGUCCUCUGAAAUAAUUUGAUUUUCACGUAUAACACAAUAAUCCUAGCAAAUAAUUUACCUAGCACCAAUUGGUAAAUUAGUACCAUACAAUUUUGGAAAAAAAAAAAUUGAAAAUUUCACCCAUUAAUGCACAUGAACGUUAAAUCAAUUUAAAAUUUUAAUUCUUAUGGAAUUUAAAACAGUUAUUAAUUAGCCAAAUUGCAAGAAAAAUAAGUAAGAAAAAAGAAUUCAAAAAAUAAUAAAAGAAGAUUAUAAGUGUAUUCGCAAGUGGAGUAAGAGUGAUAGAAUUUUGCUCACAUAGGUUGCUACCUUUUUUUUUUUGUAGGAUCCACUUUUUUUUUGGGCUAGAUGUAGUCCGAUUUUAUGCUACCUAAGAAAGGAAGUUGUCAGUCCAAGUAGUGGAUCUAGCCUUAUUUUUUGACUCAUUGGGAUGAAAUUUCACGCUAAGGCUGGAAAUAUGGUAGCAUCAUGAAGGAUAAAACCCCCAUUGGAGAUGCUUUAAAGGCCUAUAUUUAGGAGUGGAAUUCUCUUGCCUCCUAUUUUUAUCCCAUUACUCCUAUUUUUUAACAAUUUGUUCAUUGUUUUAUUAUUUAUAUAAAAAAUCAAUAUAAGAUGUUGGCAUAACUUAAUCGUAACCGUUCAAGUAAGAAGGAAGAAAAGGAAAGAGGUAUUAAGAGGAGAGAUAAUAUUCUUUCCAAUAUUUAAGGAGUUUGCUAGAUAAGUAAGAUUACAUGAGAGGAAGCCCCAAAACAAGCACAGGAGAAAAGAAAAGACCUUAUGAACAAAUAGAAGUCUGGGCCAAAGCAAAAAUUGGAACCCAUAACAAGAAAAAACAAAAGACAAAGAACUUUUUCAAUCUUCCUGCAACUGUUGCUAUAGGAAACCGAUGAACCAAAAAAGAAAUUGAAGCCUCAAUGGGAGAUCUGUAAAAGAUGGUAUUGUAGCAUCCAACCUAAACUAGCAACAUGUGUCAUCUUCAAGCGAUCAAAAGAUGAGUCAAACAUAACUCUCAAAAAGCCCGACCCACCACCACAUACGUGAAAUCCACAAAUGUGAGAAUGACUAAGAAGGGCACCAGCAGCAAAUGAAAACAAGAAGACAUCAAACGCAAUAACCCCAAAAGUAAAAACAUCUGAAAAAACCUUAUCCCCAACAAAUAGAAACAGUCCCACGCCUUUUGUCUCUGGCCAGCAACCACCAGAAUAACCACCAUGAAGGAUCCAAAACUAGAGCAGGUCUGCAAAGACCAAGGCACAGCAAAAUCAACCAAAAAAUGGCAAGCAUACCUAAAGCAAAAAUCAAAUCUUAAAGUAUAGAAAUCGAAAUUCCAGAUCGACCGGGUCUAAAACUUUAAUAUCUAAUUUUUGGGUAAGGGAGAAGGAAAAUGGUGGGGAAAAACAUGGUUGAAAUGGACUAAUGUGCAUAUUGGUGAUGGAAAUAUAGAAGGGAUGAAGUUGAGGAAAAGGGGUUGCAAGAUGAGGACUAAGGUAUGAAAAGAACACAGAAAGUAAAAAGAAAAAAUUCAAGCCUCCAACUCUUAAAAUGGCAAUCGGAUGGGGAAAUUGAAGAAACGGGAGGGAUGGUGAGAAAUUGCAACUGUUAAAAUUCUCUCACAAAAUGAGAGAGAUACCCUUACAUACAGAGGGAAGAGCUCUCACAGAAGAGAGAAAUGGAAGGUCUAUAAGCCCUACAAGAACACUUUAAUGAUUAAGACUUCAGGCCAUCUCCAACCGAAGGGUCUAGAGGGCCGAAAAUAGCCCGAAAAUUGUCUUCAACCGAAGGCAAGGCCAGAGGGCUGUGAAAUCUUAGAGGGCCCUUCGGAAUCAGAAAGGGCCAAAGGGCUAGAGGGCUGGCCACUUCCAGCCAGCCAGCCAGCCCCGAGCUGGCCAGAAUUUUUUUAAAUGUGUCGGAUUUCCUGUCGGUUAUAACCAACAGGAAUACAUUCUAUUACUUAAUAUAAAUGUAUCACUGUCGGUUAUAAUCGAUAGUAAUACAUUUAUACUAAAUAAUAUAAAUGUAUUCCUAUCGGUUAUAACCGACAGGAAUUCUUAAGAAAAAAUUCAAAUGCAACGGCUAGCUGACUAUCCGUUGCAUUUGAUUUUUUUUUUUUACAGUUUUAUUAUUAUUUUUUAUUUACAAAAUUUUUCAUAUAACUUAUAUUUUUUCCUAUAACUUUUAUUCUACAAAAUUUGUUUCAUAUUUUUUUUAAAAUUUUAUUUUUUCCUAUAACUUCUAUUUUACAAAAUUUGUUUCAUUUUAUUUAAAUUUUUUUUCUAUAACUUCUAUUUCACAAAAUUUGUUUCAUUUUACUUAGCCAUUGGAUUUAAAUUUAAAUUGUAAUUUGUAAAUAACAAAUUAUGUUUGGCCUUAUGGGCCUUUAGCCUUCGGUUGUAAACGAUUUUUUGUGAUAGGGCUAAAACAAGCCCUCUGGCCCUCGGUUGGAGACGGAGGCAAAUAUGACCAUGUACUGUUCAUUAAAAUAUUAAUAUCUUGGAGGAUCUUGGAGGGCCAGAGGACUAAAACAAGCUUUCUGGCCAGCCAUCGGUUGGACAUGACCUUAAGCUACUUAGGGUCAAUGAAGUCUAAACUUUAUACUUAGUGCAAGUUCAUUCUUUUGGAAAAUGCAACAGUAGUGGCAGGGGUAAAACAAUUGAAUGUUCUUUAUUAUUCACUCUAAACAUUAAUUGUCUUUGUCUUACUUAUUCAUUGAACAAUGACGAUUACUAACGAUUACUGAUCACAUAGGUUCUCUUUUUUAUUCCUUAUAAUUGUGUUUAAGUGUAAACUUUGCAAAUUUGCUCUUUGAAAAUAAAACUCCAUAUUUAACGCCAAUAAUUUACUUUCAAAUGCAAAGUAAAGCAUAACAUUACAACCUUGUACAAUAUUAAAACAAUACAAUUCUCAGUGGACUACAACCUAGCAAUGUUUUGCGCUCUAUGCGGCUGCCUAGGUGGCGCCUAGGCGCUGGACGAUGGUCAGCCUUUCCGAGGAGGUCAAAAUCGGAGAGAAAAUCGGCAAACAAUUAGGCGGAACUAAGGCAGAUGUUAGGCAGCCGUUGGGCAGUGUAGGCGGUCGUGACGGAGCCUAGACAGCUCAGGAGUCAAACCACCACCACCCAGAAGAAGGCAAUGAGGCAAGCAACCGUCGAGGCCACACUGUUUGGGUUAAAACUUAAACUUUGGGCUCAAAAGGGAGUUGGCCCAAAAGGAGGAGAGAAGCCCGAAGCCCAGCCCAAGCCCAGAAGGCAGAAAAGGCCUUUCCCGGCUAGGUGCAGAUCAUUUGCACCACUUGCUUACCUGCCUAGAGACCAAGUGGUAUAGACCAGCCAGCUAAUCAACCCAAAAGUACUUUACAGUGGCAGUACAAGUAAAUAGCUGAUGAGUCAUUACCCUUCAAGCUGUAUUCGGGCAAGAUUAUUGCUACAGGAGGCCAAACCGAAGUGUCUAUCAAAGAAGAAAGAGAAAUCAGAGAUAAAGACACUCAAACAAACAAACAAGUACAAGCACAAACUCUGCUCAAAGCCAGAUUUGCCUUCAAACGAAGAUGUAGUCAGCCCAAGCCUUCAUCUCUUUCGGGAUAAACCCUCACCAAAAGCCUUUGUAAUAGCUCUGCUACCUUGUCCUAAGCUCGCUGUAGUAUUGAUUUCUUUCUGUAAACUCAACUCCCUACCUCAUUUUCUAAAGCUCUCAAACCCCUUGAUAAACCACAAAGAUAGGAAGUUGCAAGACGAUCAGCCUUGCCCAACAAGGUUAAACCUUGCCCGACCCUCUUUGUUUUUGUCUUUUCAUUCAUUAGCCUAGCAAUAUGUUAUAUAUUUCCAGUUGUAUUCAAGUUAUUUCUAGUAAGAUGAUGAUUAAAAGAUUCUCUCAGUUCUUGAAUCUGAUUUGAAUAUGUCUUCACAGUUCAAACCAGAUCUAAGUUCUAAGCUUUCGGGCAUGUAAGAUUGAUCAUUCAAAAGUCCUUGGCCUCAAGGCAUAAAAAAGAACCUUAUGUGGACUUAACCCAUCCACGACAAGCCUUGAUAACAAGAAGUCCAAAGUUACUUGGGGCGCAAGUAAUCAAUUUAUCUCUUAGUUUUAUUUCUAUUAUAUUAUGAUUGUAGUAGAACGUUUGAGUAUAGAAGGAAUUCUGAUGGGAAGCCUCAAUGCCUAUAUCUAAGACUCUACAAAGGCACCUAUUUAAGUUCAUUCUUUUCUGCGGGCUCGGAUAAUAAGAAGUAUAAUGGUUAUAACACUUCUGCAAACAAUAAAACAGACAUCAUAUAUUCGAGUACUGGGUUAGUUCUUGAUCGGAAGCCUCAAGGCCUACACCUAAGGCCCUACAAAGGCACAUGUCAUAACUAACAUGUCCUCUCGGGUAUAUGUACAACUAAAACUUAACAUCCAUUUUACAUCUGCCAUGCUAAAGAUGGCAGUGGCAUGCCUGAGCACUUUAAUCUUGAUUGUGAGCCUCAAGGCCUAUACCUAAGGCUCCACAAAGGCACCUUUCAAAGUUAACUCUGUCAUUCUCUUUCAGCCUUGCCCGACAAACCUUGCCCGACAAGCUUUGCGCGACAAGCCCGACAGAAAGCAUCAACCGGCGCCAACCUUUCGGGGAGCUGUGUGCUCGUCGGCUAAGAGACAUCCCCGACAGAAAUUCUAGCCACGAACAUAGUUUUGGCACGCCCGGUGGGAUUUCAUUUGUAGAAAGAAUGACAGCCAUAAACUUUGCAGAAAGAAUACGAAGGACGGUUCUUCUCAAACUUUGCUACAAAUGGCAGAUCAAUCAAGAAAUCCUUCUUCCCCAUCAAGACAUGUGGUCCCGGAAAGCCCAUUUUCAUCCGGAAAGUCGGAAGGGAGAGGAACUAAUGAGGAAUUACAGGCUAUUAUGAUACAAAUAUUAAGGAGUAUGGAAAAAAUCUCUUUGGAAACCAAGGGGGAAGUCAGUAGACUGUGUACCUUAACAGAGAAUUUAUAGAGAAGGUUAGAUCUGGAGUUUUCCACUCCAAAAGGCGCUCAGGGAAGUGGGAUGAGCUAGGUUACCAUAAGAAGUAAACCAGUUAUUCCCCUAUUUCCAUUGUUAGAAGAAGAAAAUGAUAGGGGAAAAAAGAAAGUAGUUCCUGAAGGAAGUCAACCCGUGAUAGAACCAAUUCUGGAGAAGGAAUUUCCUAGCUUCCCAUUAUUAUCAUUUAAUAAUAGGAAGCAAAGCGAGCAAGAAAGGAUGAAGUAUGGGAUGCCCAUAACAACAGGAGAUUCUAGCAAAAAAGAAAGCUCUGCAGCUUCGGAUAAACCUCUUCCUUAUAGGCCACCCCAUUGGCUUAUAAAGGAGAAAGAACCAACUGGAGAAAACCUGAGUCAAAGUAAGAAGCAGGCGCGGGCAAUGACCGAAGCCCGAAGAACGAAUCUGCCUUUCUCCUCCAAAAUAAUAAUACAGCUACUCAACAACUGAGGGAUGAGUUGGCUGAACUAAGGAGGACAGUAGCUCAAAAUGCUCAACCACGGGCUCGGCCAGUGUUCAGGGUUACUUAUCAAAAGCCUUAUCCUGAAUACAUUGAUGAGCAAAAUCCAUUUCCUCUCAACUUCAAGAUGUCUGCAUUCCCAACGUUCACAGGUGAAGAUAGUAGUGUGAAGACCACAUUUUCAAAUUCUCCAAUCAUUGUGUGGCAUAUGAAGACAACCCAAACUACAAGUUAAGGUUGUUUGGGAAUUCAUUGGCGGGAUUAGCAUCUCAGUGGUAUUCUCUAUUACCCCCUAACUCUAUUGCCAACUGGGGGCAGAUGGAGAUGGCCUUCCACGAACAAUUUUAUAGAAUAGAACAAAAAAUGACUAUUAAUGAUCUGGUUGAAGUCAAACAAUACGAACAUGAAUCCACAGAGGACUUCAUGAUGAGGUUCAGGAAGACAAGGAUGAGAUGCCAAUUCCCUGUUAACCAAGCUCAGCUCAUAUCAAUUGCUCAAAGGGCUCUGAGAUUACCUUUGAGGAAAAGAUUUUAUGAUACACAAUUUAACGAGCUACAUGAGUUGGUAAUUGCUGCCACAAGGUAUGAGAGGCUGUUGCUAGAAGAGCAACAAGUGAAACAUACUUCCAAAACUCAUCCCUUCUACAAAAAUAAAGCUGCAAUUCAUCGUGUGGAGGUAGGAGAAAUCGGGCCAGAACAGGAGGAUGGCCAUGACAGAGAGAAAGUUGAGGUGUGUGCUGCUGAGAUGACCACGCCUUUCAAACCAUUGAUGGUGAAAGGAUUAGUUCAACCCAUCAAAGACCAGAAAAUUAUGAUGAACGAUGGAGGCUUUGUCCCUAUGAAACCUUCCAAAUACCAGAGUGAUUCGUUCGAUUUGGCCAAGGCACCCGAGAUUUAUGAAAAACUGGUGCGGGCAAGAGUAAUUUUGCCCGACAGUACUAAAAAGAUGCCCAAACUAGAAGAGCUGAGGGGGAAGAAGUAUUGUAAGUUACACUAUACCUUCAACCAUUCUAUAACCAAUUGUGUCUAGUUCAGAGAUUGGAUACAAGACCUUAUAGUGAAGGGAAAGUUGUUGCUUGACAAGCCCCAAGCUAGUAUGAUGGUUGAUACCAAUCCUUUCCCGGAAGCCCCUAUCAACAGGAUCAAUCUAAUUUGGGUGGGGAAGACAGGAUCAUCAGUUGUUACGACAGAGGAGAAAAAUGGAUCCCAAGUUGCCCCAGCACCCUCGCUCAAAUAAAAGUACCAGAGGGGGGACCAAAGGAUCAUGGUUAUGUCCUAAAAUUGGUAUUAGUAAGGGAAGUAGAAGAAAGAAGAAAAUAGAUAAGGGGGCAAAGAGUUGCGCGAAAUAAGUUCAGACAAAAGCCAGAAGCAAAGCAAGCAAAAGGCAAAUACAUGUUCAUUAUGCUAAAAGAAGGGUUACAAAUAAAUUCUAGUCUAAUAAUUUUACAUCUUUACUCAUAGUGAUUAUUCGAGAAUGAUAUGUCUGCAUGAUAUUCGAGAAUGAUAUGUCUGCAUGAUGGCAAAGAUCCUACUAGGUUCGGCCAAAACAGUAUGGCUAUUUGCAAGUUGAGACCUAGUAUGCUCUAAUUCCGAGUCUGACUUCUUCACUUCUUCGAUUUGGUUUUUGAGGGUGUCAAGAAGAGUUGCUUGCUCAGCUUUUAGAACAACCAAUUGUUCCUCUAGCUUCUGGAUUUCAGAAGUCACCACUCCGAUCCUUUCUUUUGUCAGCAAACCAUCAUCCAUCAACCUUUCAACCUGAGCAGAAGUACUUGAUUCUUUCUCCUGGAAACAUCUUACACGAUUGGCUUGUCUUUCAGCUCUCUUAUGUUAAUCCCGGAGAGCCUCAGGUUCUCAAAGAAAAAGAGAAAUGAAUCAUGUUGAGUUUUGGAUAACUGACCGGUUUUGAACAGCUUCAUUGUAACCUUCUCUAUAUCAUGAAGAGCCUUGAGGCUGAACGAAGCUGAGAAGUCCUUCCUAGCCCAUUCUUGGAAAGCUCCUUGCUGCUUUUGAAGACCAGAAGAUACGACAGAAUGCUUUGAAGAUUUCAGCCUUGUCUCGAGUUGCCCGAAUUCUUCAAAAAGUUCGGGCAACUUAGCAAUUUUUGAAAAUGAAGAAGCAUGAGGAGGAUUUCGCACUCCAGUUUCCUCUAAUGAAGUAGUUAUUACUGAUGGGGCAGUUUCUGUCUUCCCGGUCUUCUCAAUUCCAGGAUGGGAAAUCUCGGCACUUCCAAUAGUUAAAUGAGGUCGGGGAAGCUUUGAUUUACGAACCAAACGAUGAGGAGAGGCUUCUUCCAGAACUUGCUGCAAAGACCAAAGAAGACCAGAUUAAGACAAAAAUAUAGUUUGAAGCAAAGGGAAGCCUUGGGAAGAAGAAAUAUACCUGACUGAGCCCUGAGGCUUCACAAGGAAGAGUACCAAUUCCUGGUUGAGAGGACGACUCUUUACCACUGACAGGGGAAGAAAAAGCUGCGCCUGAACCUUCGCCAAUGCCCUAGAAAUAUCCAAGGAUAGCAACAAUUAUUAGUAAGCAUAUUGAAAAAGGAAAACAGGAAGAAAAUACCUCCAUACCUGAGUUUGACCCCGAGAAGAAUGAGGUUCAUCGAUGGUAACCGUUGGGCAAGCAAACACCUGCAAUACCGCUACCCUUGAGGUCACAGGAAUCUCAGGGACUAUGGGUUCAUCACAUAUUACCACUGAUGGUUGGGGUGCUUCAUAUAAUGAAGAAGGCUGCAAGAAAUAUGAAUAGAAGUUAAUAUGGAAGCAAUGCACAGAAAGUCAAUGUAAGGAUAGUUACUCACCAAAUUACUGUCCUCAUCCACAAAGUGCAACAUAACUCCGGUAGAUGAAUCAAAUUGAGAAGAUGGAGUUACCUCCAUGGCAGAAGGAGAAAUCAAAGACUUCAAAGGAGAACCUUGACUAGGCAAAGGGACAGAUACCCCGACCUGGAGAAAGAUAGAAAAAGAGAAAGGUUCAGGCAUUAGCUCCAGAGACUAUAAAAUUGCCCAAGGAUCGAGAAAGAAGGGAAUGCACCUCUGAAGGAUUAACUCGGGGAGGAGAGAGGCUUGUUUCUCGGGCAAGUGGCGAAGAUACCUCGGGUGGAUGAAGCUUUUCCUCUCUUGCAGCCUGAUUCAAGUAAAUCAUGCUCAGGUUGUGGAAGCAGGAAAGAUUAUGCAGACAUAAACAUAAACUAUACCUCAAGUUCUUUAAGGGUAAUAUUUCGUAAUUCUUCAACCUUUUUGUGCAUUUCAACUCUUAAUGGUUCCUCCUUAGAAGCAAUGGUUGGUUUCUUAGAUGUUUGAGGUCCUGUUUUCAAGGAAAGCAAGGGUAAUUAGAUAAAGAGGAAGGGUGGUGAUCUGAUAAAAAAGAACAAGACUCACUUGAAGACUUUUGCUUCUUUCUACCUGCCUUAGAAACUGGAGCAAAUGAGGCUGAAGACUUGUAAGUUUGGACGGUUCUUGGUCUCUUACUCUUUCUAGUAGGAAUUGGUCAUUUAGUCUUGGGUGGGGAUGCAGGAUCAGAAUCUGAGGUCUCAAUCACAACUGUUUUCCUUCGCUUAGACACUUGGGUGAUGACUUCAGACGCUUCUUCUUCAGCCCCUGAAUCUUCUGAAACAUCCCCACCUUCUCCAGCUUCUCGUCUUUCAGCCUUCGCCGCAGCUCCAUGAAGAACUGCUGCAUUAGCUGAGUCAUCAUCGGACUCAAUAGGUAUCGAUUCAACAUCCACUUGGGCUGCAAGAUCAAGCAAGGUAAAAAUUUAGGAGGCUUCAGAAGGGAUGUAGAAUCAAGAUAAGAAGAAAAAUUACCUAUUAGAAGUAACCGAUUCUUUUCCUGGAUCAUCUCCUUCCAAUUUCAAGUUCGCCUGAACUAGGGUAUGAUUUGAGAGAAAGUUGACUGAAAAGGCAAUCAUGAGUCUCUCUCAAGUCCCUUCCAUAUUUCUUGGUCCAUUUAUUUUCCCACCAAGAAGAGAAGAGUGAGGUGCAUUCAAAAUUGAGGAUGAUGAACUUUCGGGCAGCCUGACCCAUGACUUCAAGACUAUGUUGGGCGGCUCGAAAGGUCACCUCGGAAGGAGAUGACAAUCAAAAGGAAGUGCCACAAUGGACAGAGUCAAAGAACGGGAUGGGAAUGGCUUGCCUAAAACCUAACUGCCUGCUGCAAAAGUUAAGGUGAUACACCUCCAACCCUCGAUCAUAUCGAUUGCCCCGAACUCCCCAGGCCAUGUCUCUCGGUUGAAUACAACUAAUAAAUUUCUCCUUGCAAAAGGAGGUGGACUCUUCCCCAGAAGCAUCUUGAAAGGCUUGGUCAGAAAACCAAGGAUAUCUCCUCAAGACCGACGCGCCCCAUUCCAAGUCUGAUCGAGUCCUACAAACUUUGAAGAAGUAAAAGCAGGCGAAGGUGGAGUGAUCGGUAGGAGCAGCUUCAACUAGGAUUCGAGCAGGGGCCACACCUUCUAGGAACUCUAAGUUGGCAGCCCGAAACUCUGGAAAGUACCAUUGAAGCCAUGUUUGUAUCAUCCAUAUGGGCCCAUUCAGGUUAGUCUCAAAUGGCUCACCUUGAGUCAUUUCAAAAAGAAGAUGAUAAAUAUGAGAAAGAAUGAACGAACCCGUAGCUACAUCAUCAAAGUUAUGAAGAGUUUCCACCAAAGGGAUCCAUUCAACCUUCACUCCUUUAGACUUAUUGGGGAAGACAUGUUUGUUGAGCCAGUAUAGGAGGAAAUACAUGUGCUCUUGAUCUUUAUCAACAUGAGAAGAACCUGCUCCAAAAUUUUCCUUUACAAAAGGGAUGAAGCUCUUGAAGGAGGUCCCAUAACUCUUGAAGGUUACAAAAUUAUAUUCCAAGGAAAGGAAAGAGGCAGAUGACCUUGAGCUUUCAGCAAUUGAGGGGGGAGCCCAGUCUUGAGUAACAUCCAUUAUCCUGCCCGAUGGCCUUAGCCCGAAGACCUGGGCCAUAUUAAGAAUAGUCAGAGACAUGGGACCCAUACGGAAGUCAAAAGUGUUUGUGCCCGAAUUCCAGAAGAGAAGAGAAGAAGCAAGCAAUUCAGGCUUGGGAAUAAUGGUAGUUUUCGAAAGCAUGAUCAAUUCAUAAAUACCAUUAUUCAUCCAUUUCUUCUUAAAAGUUGGCUCUAGUUCAUCGAUCCACUGAGCCCAAGCCGGAUCGUUCAUCUAAGGAAAGCCUCGACGAUAUGACGACCACUUGGAUGAAGAAAUGCCCGACUUAGCCAAAAAGGGAUUUGUGGAAAACCAGUUAUCCCUGGGCAUAUUGUUCUCUAUCACGGAAAGGACCUUAGAAAUCCAUGCGGGACCCAACGAUUAUGCCCCAUGCGCUUCAAAGAAAAGCUCAGAAUACAAACCUGCCCGAGGGCGAUGCAGCCCGUUGAGUAGACGGCGUAAAAUGGCGAUGCCUUUGCCAGACUCAUAGGAUAGUUGGAUUUGGCUGGGUCCUGAAGCCAUUUGAUGAGGUUUGGAAGGGGAAUGGCAAAGAAGACAACAAGGGUAAAAGAUAUCGGGUAAAGAGCAAUAGAGAAUCUGAAAGAUUUAGAGAAGCAAAAUGUCUUGGAGGUUAAGAAAUUUUCAAUUGCAGAGGGAUUUCGUGCUAAAGAAUGCAGAGGAUUCGUGGGUUAGUGAAGUGAUCGCAAGAAAGUGAUGAUUAUCUUUAGAAUGUGUGCAAAUCCCCAGAGAGAGACGUGGGUUUUAAUGGGGAACUUUUCAAUCAAUAUUGGCGCUUGAAAUUCCAGGCUGAAUAUCAAUUGAAGGGGGCACUGUUUGGGUUAAAACUUAAACUUUGGGCUCAAAAGGGAGUUGGCCCAAAAGGAGGAGAGAAGCCCGAAGCCCAGCCCAAGCCCAGAAGGCAGAAAAUGCCUUUCCCGACUAGGUGCAGAUCAUUUGCACCACUUGCUCACCUGCCUAGAGACCAAGUGGUAUAGACCAGCCAGCUAAUCAGCCCAAAAGUACUUUACAGUGGUAGUAAAAGUAAAUAGCUGAUGAGUCAUUACCCUUCAAGCUGCAUUCGGGCAAGAUUAUUGCUACAUGAGGCCAAACCGAAGUGUCUAUAAAAGAAGAAAGAGAAAUCAGAGAUAAAGACACUCAAACAAAUAAACAAAUACAAGCAUAAACUCUGCUCAAAGCCAGAUUUACCUUCAAACGAAGCUGUAGUCAGACCAAGCCUUCAUCCCUUUCAAGAUAAACCCUCACCAAAAGCCUUUGUAAUAGCUCUGAUACCUUGUCCUAAGCUCGCUGUAGUAUCGAUUUCUUUCUGUAAACUCAACUCCCUACCUCAUUUUCUAAAGCUCUCAAACCCCUUGAUAAACCACAAAGAUAGGAAGUUGCAAGACGAUCAGCCUUGCCCGACCCUCUUUGUUUUUGUCUUUUCAUUCAUUAGCCUAGCAAUUUGUUAUAUACUUCCAGUUGUAUUCAAGUUAUUUCUAGUAAGAUGAUGAUUAAAAGAGUCUCUCAGUUCUUGAAUCCGAUUUGAAUAUGUCUUCACAGUUCAAACCAGAUCUAAGUUCUAAGCUUUCGGGCAUGUAAGAUUGAUCAUUCAAAAGUCCUUGGCCUCAAGGCAUAAAAAAGAACCUUGUUGAUGCACAAAAUCAGCGAAGACUUUGGUACAACAGAAAGUGUCAGGUUUUGUGACCUUCGCUUGGUUGCUUCGGUCACUAGUGAGGAUAAGUACGUAAAUGAAUAGAGACAGAGAAGCAAACACAGGAUGUACGUGGUUCACCCAGAUUGGCUACGUCCACGGAGUAGAGGAGUUCUUAUUAGUAGUGAAGGGCUUACACAAGUACAAAGGAUCAAGCUCUCAAUUUAGUGAGUUCUUGUGAAUGAUUUAACACAAAAUGGCAUUAGGCAAUAUUGUGGGGGAAUGACCCCUAUUUAUAGAAAAACUUGUAGCUUUGUCACAUUGACAUGUGUCAUGUUAUGAUUGGUUCUUGAUGUUGACACGUGCUGCGCUCUGAUUGGCUUCUAAUCUUGACACGUGUCGAGUAGUGAUUGGCCUCCUGGUCGGAGGGGAACUCUUCCUUGACAGUAUAGCGUUGGCCGGUGCUCGGUAGUUUCGGGAUUGGUCAAGUAUGGUACAAACAGUGCUCCCCUAAGUUCCCGAGUGAGGGAAACUCCUCGGUUGGGGACUUGCAAGAUCCAAUCCCUUGAGUAAUCACGAAACUUCUAAGUACCGAAGUGUGGUCUGAUCUUCAUCUGCCCUUCUCUGGAAGUACCUUUCCUCCAUCCGGGAAUGGUGUAUUUAGCUGAUGUUGACGCACAAGGUAAUGUAUCAAUUUCACUUGAAGCUUAGUUGUAGUUUCGGGCUUAGUCAAGUGUGAUACAAACCCUAUAGUAGGAGUCCCCCAAGUCGCCGAGCUAGGAGAUCUGCCGAAAGAGGUGACAGACAAGGUAAGCAGUCAAACUUCCAAGUAAGCAACCCAGGAUCAGAGGUUUGACUUCGGCUUCCGGUUGAUUGUUCUCAUUCUCCUUGUCUCUCAUUCAACUGCCAGGAUAAGGAGAAGCAAAUGGAUAAGAGAUGAUAUGAGAUACUUUUGCUUUUGAAGAAGUAACUUUCCACAGGCUUAUUCUUGAACUGUGCUGGAGGGUUUUCUGGUGCCCUUCAGAGUAUAAGGCCGACUCAAAAAUUUGAGGGUCAAAACAAGUCCAUCAAAUCUAGAGUACGUUCGACCUUGACUUGAUGAUAUGGGAUACUUUUGCUGUUGACGGAAUAAUGAAUGUGGUAUGGAAAGGUGUCGUGCUGUAGUGAUCUGUUUCAGCUCACCGUUGAACCUUCUGCUUCAAUCUUUUGCAUGGCAGAAGUGGUGUGCAACCUUUGCAUUUAAAUGGUCCUUCAGAACAUUCCUUCAUAGUGACUCAUCCACGCUUGGCAGCUUCAGUGUAAAGAGCCAAUAUCUGAUCAACUGUCAUGAGGUAUUUGCCGGUGGAAUUCGUGACCUUGACAGCAGUUGAGGAUGAGUACUCGAGAGCAAUGCUAAGUAAGCAACCAGGCAAAGGCUCCAGGCAGUCAGUUCCAAAUUGGAGGUUUGAUUUCAGGUUCCGACUGACUGCUCUCUUUCUCCUUGUCCUGCAGGUGUGGACAAGGACAAAGACAAAGACAGGGAGAAAGCAUGAUAUGGGAUACUCUUGCUUUCGACCCUGAUGAUAUGAGAUACUCUUGUUCUUGGUGUGGCUUAUUUGCUGAGGUAUUAUCGGGGGGAAAUAAAGCUGAGUAUUUCGAGAGGUUAUGUUGAGGGUGCCUUUUCGAAUGCGAGAAAGGGUUGAGCAUUUUUGCAGGUUUGCCUGUCCGUUGAGGAGGGAGGUCAAUGUAUAUAGGGAUUUCCCAAUAACAAGUAGUAAUGCUAUUCCUUUACCCUUCUUGGUCACAGCAAUGUAGUGGGAGCUGCCAGCUUCACGUGUUUUUAAUUUUGUCAGAGCACUUUGAAAAAGUGGUAUGUGGUAUCUGGAAAGCUGAUAUUACGUGUGAAGAUUACAGACAAGCUUUAUCUAAGGAAAUCUGGCUCUCGAAGUUCUGAGAGUUGUGCCUCUUCGGUUUUCGAACAAGCAAUCCCGUCGAGGAUCUGACUCUCGAGAUUCGGAAAGCGGUGCUACUCCGGUUUUUGAGAAAGUAAUUAUGUUGGGAGUCUUUUCUCGAAUGUGAGUAAAGGUUGGACGUUCUUGCCAACCUGUCUUGCCAACAAAACACGGAGGUCGACACACAUAGGGACUUUCCAGUUGUCAAGCAGUGGUGCUGUUCCUUUACCCUUAUGGGUAAUAGUAGGGUAGCUGGAACUUCGAAAUUCUCGUGCCUAAACUUUGUCAGAGAUCUUUGACAAAGUUAUAUGUGGUACCCGAGGAGUUGAUGGUGCAUAUGGAGAGCGGUGAUUGAAUCAGUAAGAUUCACGUGCUUUCUACUUCACCAGAAAUCUUCGACAGAUUGCCCGUAAUUUCCGCAAAGCUGAUUGUGCAUGUGACAGGUGCUGACGAGGCUGCAAAAGCAGGUGCUUCUUCGAUUUCUGAGAUCGGCCCUCGUGGUCUCUGAGCAGCCCAGCUUUUGAGAAAGCAAACGCCUCUUCGAUUUCUGAAGCUCCGUCGAGUGCAGAUUUUUAUAGAGGCUGGCAUUAAGUUCCACAGCACACUUGAAUCUCUACCAGUAGAAGCUCAUUUCUUGCACUUCUAAGAUCUUGAUUUGUCUGACCUCUUCCUUCUUCAACACAUUUGAAAAUGUCUGGACCCUCCGACCGUCGUUUUGACUUGAACCUUGGAGAAGAGACAGCCACGCCUUCUCCAGACAACAUAUGGCGCCCAUCCUUCAUAUCCCCUACUGGUCCUCUUACCGUUGGGGAUUCUGUGAUGAAAGAAUGAUAUGACCGCUGCAGUGGUGGCCAGGAACCUUCUCACUCCCAAAGAUAACAGACUACUUUCCAAACGGUCUGAUGAGUUGGCUGUUAAGGACUCUCUGGCUCUUAGUGUUCAGUGUGCAGGUUCUGUGUCUAAUAUGGCCCAACGCCUAUUUGCUAGAACCUCCAAGUUGAAUCAUUGGCUGCUGAAGUGAUGAGUCUCAAACAGGAGAUUAGAGGGCUCAAGCAUGAGAAUAAGCAGUUGCACCGGCUCGCCCAUGACUAUGCUACAAACAUGAAGAGGAAGCUUGACCAGAUGAAGGAAUCUGAUGGUAAGGUUUUACUUGAUCAUCAGCGGUUUGUGGGUUUGUUCCAAAGGCAUUUAUUGCCUUCGUCCUCUGGGGCUGUACCUGGUAAUGAAGCUUCAAAUGAUGAACCUCCAAUGCCUCCUCCUUCUGGGGUUUUGUCAAGUACUGAGGCUCCGGAUAACCACCCUCCGGUGCUUUCUCUUUCUGGGGCUCUACCGACUGCUGAGACUUCCCCUAAGCAACCUUUGUGAAGGCUCCCUUUUGUUUGUUUAUUUUGACUCAUGUAUAUGUACAUAUUUGUGGCUUAUCGAAAAUAUUAAUAAAUAAGCUUUGCUUCAUUUCAACAUAUUGUGUUAAAUACACCAAAGCCUUCUUCAUAAAGUUCUUUGAAUUUUUUGCUUUUGUUGAAACCUGUAUUGUUGAAGCUUUGUGAGUGGAGCAUGUAGUUUGAGGUAGUGUUCCCUUAAUUUCCCGAGUGAGGAAAACUUCUCGGUUGGAGACUUGAAAAAUCCAAGUCACUGAGUGGUUGUGAGACUGCCGAGUAUCAAGGUGCAGUAGCAUAUGGUGGGAGUCCCCCAAGUCUUUAGGCGAAGAGAGUUGCCGAAUGAGGUGUCUAGCUAGUAGUCAAUGUCAUGAGUAGGAAAACUUCACUUGUUUCUUUUCGAAGUGGUAACCCAGGGCUCUUUCUUCAUAUAUUGUUUUUUGUUAUGAAGAUGUGUUAGGCCCAAAGAAGUGGAGGCCUAGGAACUUUUUUUUUUAUUUUAUUUUUUUUUUAUUUUUUUUAUUUUUUAUUUUUUACUCCCUCCCUUUUUCUUGUGUCAUUUACAUGGGUGUAUUCGAAUGGAGCUGAAUGAGGGGUAGGGUAUGACUCAUUAUCAUGUGCCAUGAUUUUGUCUUCCUUUAGCUUCUCUUUUGCUUUGCUUUAGUCUUCCUUUAGCUUUUCUUCAAUAUAACACCAUUUUCUGUGGCUCAGAUCGCAAAACCAUCUGCAUGAAAGUUGUUCCUUAGCUCGUGAACUACAACAUAUCCAAAUUGGAGAUCCAUCGGAGCAGUACAACUCCAGAAAUUCAGGUAUGAUGAGUGAUUGUUCGUCAUUGUAUAUCAACGCGUCAAACUUGUUGUGAGCUUCAAAAACUCCAUUUUCUCUUGCUCAGAUCAACAUACUUUCUUCAUCGAAGUUGUUCCUCAGCUUGUGAACUUCAACAUAUCCAAAUUUGAGAUCCCUCGGAGAAGUAUAACUCCAGAAAUCCAGGUAUGAUGAAUGACUGGUUAUUAUUUUUCUGUCAACCCGUCAGAGAUUUGUUGUGAGCUUUGAAAACUCUAUUUUCUCUAUUGUUCAGAUCAGCAUGCUUUCUUCAUUGAAGUUGUUCCUCAUCGUCUCUUUCAUAACAUAUCAAAAAAUUCAGAAUGAACUAAUGGUUAAAUAUUUCCAGAUCUUCGAAACAUCACAGCAGCUUCGAAAUCUGCAAGAAUCCGACUGUCAUGCUUGGAGCUUCAACACUUUAAUUUCCGUCGCUCAAACAGAAAUGGUUCCUUCUUGAAAGUUGUUCAUCUGCUCAAGAACUAGAGGGGUGUCCAAAAUUCAGCUCCAUUGGAGAGAAGCAGCAGCUGCAAAAAUUUGAUAGAGAAAAGGAGGCGAAGCUUUGUUGGAUUUCUAGGCUGGGGGAAGAUUCCAGUUUUUGUAGCAACUUCAGUACUGGUGAAUUGCUUGUAUAUUUUUGUCCAUAACUAAAUUUUGGACUUUGAAUUAUUAUUUGAUCUAUCAUAAUAUGUUUGGGAACAUAUAUAAGUGAAUAAAUAAGAAGGAAGAUUUUGGGCCCUUGUGGGUGUAAAACAAAAAAUGUUUAGGUUGUGUGAACAAAAUUUGUUUAUUUGGAGCAAGGUUUUGUGUUGAAGCUUUGUAGGUGAAGCUUUGGUGUUGAAGCUUUCUAGGUGAAGCUUUGAUGGUGAAGCUUUGUAGAUGAAGCUUUGUAGAUGAAGCUUUCUAGGUGAAGCUUUUUUAGGUGAAGCUUUGUAGGUGAAGCUUUUUUAAGUGAAGCUUUGGGGGUGAAGCUUUUGAGGUGAAGCUUUGUGGGUGAAGCUUUGGAGGUGAAGCUUUUCGGGUGAAGCUUUUUUGGGUGAAGCUUUGUGGGUGAAGCUUUUUAGGUGAAGCUUUGUGGGUGAAGCUUUGGAGGUGAAGCUUUUUUAAGUGAAGCUUUGGGGGUGAAGCUUUUCGGGUGAAGCUUUUUUUGGGUGAAGCUUUGUGGGUGAAGCUUUUGAGGUGAAGCUUUGUGGGUGAAGCUUUGGAGGUGAAGCUUUUUUAAGUGAAGCUUUGGGCCCUUGUGAAGCUUUGGAGGUGAAGCUUUGGAGGUGAAGCUUUUCGGGUGAAGCUUUUUUUGGGUGAAGAAGCUUUGUGGGUGAAGCUUUUUGAGGUGAAGCUUUGUGGGUGAAGCUUUUUUGGAGGUGAAGCUUUUCGGGUGAAGCUUUUUUGGAUGAAGCUGUUUUUUUUUUUUUUUUUUUUUUUUGCCGCUUGACACGGUCUUCAUUUGCUUGUUUUGUAGUGACUGUGGAAGACGGAUUGCUUUCUGAUUGAGAAGGGUUCCGGCAUCGCUUUGCACCAUCUUCAUGUGGGUAAUAUAGGAACUUCCUUAUGUUUUGAUCAUGCAUGUAGUGAUAGAAUUUGUUUCUUCUUAUUGUAGAUGUCAGAGCCUGGAAGUUCUAGUGAUGAGGGCUCUUCUAGCUUUAGCUCUAAGUCUGAGUCUGCAAUGUCGGAGUCUUCAGGGUCUUUGUUAGAGUCCGGUACUAGAGAAACAUUGGAUGAUCUUCCCAACCGUCAAACUUUAGCUAUUGCUAGUUCUUCCUCCAUGGCGUUGGGUGAGGGGGUUGUUUUUGAUGCCAUACCCAUAGUUCGCUCUGAGUUCACAGCAGACCAUCUAAAGAAUAACUUGUUAGAUAAUGAGAAGCAGGUUGAGGCGCUAAGGCAGUCAUGUAAUAUCCCUCGUAGUGUAGGGAUACGUUUGGUACAUGAUGAAGAAUGGCCUUCUGAGCCUCCCCAGGGUCAUGUUAUGUUCUACACCAAGAUAUUACUGACUUUAGGGGUGAGACUACCUUUACAUCCGUGGUUGCAAAAGAUGUUAUCUUUGAUCGGGAUAUGCACCUGGGCAACUCAAUCCUGGUUUCUGGGAUACUUUGAUUGGAUUUUAUAUCAUUUGGAUGGAGUGUGGGUUGUGUGAGCCUUCCUUCCAUCAGUGGCGUUACUGUUACAAGAUGCGCCCAGCAAAAUCAUGCACUGGUUAUGCCGAGUGUGCAUGUCGGAGUGAGAGAGAGCGUAUUGUGUAUGGUAAGAAAAAGGCAUACUACACAUGGAAAAACCGUUGGUGCUUUCUGUAUAAUGAUUGGGAGUAUGAUAAGGGUGUCACGCCUGAGCGACGUGUGCUUACUCACUUCCAGACUGUAGGUUGUAACGUAUCAACCGUUCGUACUAUUUGCUAUUUGUUGUGGUCUUUUCUUGCUUCUAACACUUUGCUUCAUGUAGUGACGCGGGGCACCAUCCAACUGUUUGGGCAGGAGCUAUCUGACAUAGAGAAGGUGUUGAGGGUGCCCAAAGAGGAUAGACACUUAAGCAAGCUACGACCCUUAUUUCGUCGGUACGGUUUUCAACCCUUAGUUUCCGAGAGCCAGGGACGAUCGAGUAAGUUGUAUCCUUCAUGUAAACUUAGCUCAAUUCCUUACUUUAUUUGGAAAGUUGUAUUUCUUAUUUUGAUUUUCCUUAUGCAGUGGAGAAGGUAAGCAAGAAAACAGGGACUAGCACCCAUAAAAGGAAAGCACCAGUGUUAGUUCCUUCGGAAGACAUCCUACCGCAUAAGAAAAUUCAUAAGUUCCGAGGGGAACCAUCCGUUAGACCUAAGUCCCAAGAUGGGGUCCUUAAGGGGCCUGCCUUUAGGAAGACUGGAGUCGAGACCGUUGAUAAUGCUACUGCCGUAGUUGCAGGAGAAGGGAGCCGACUGUUGCCUCAUCCUCUUACUAUGGAGCACACUGUCCAGGAAAGUGAUCCUGGUUCCCGCCAUGAGGGGAAAGGCAAGGAAAGAGCUGGCAGUGUCCCGUGGAAGGACUUGAGGGUUGCCACGCGGCCAAAGGAUUUUGGGGAUAUCAACAAUUGCUUGGCAGGGCGUCGAUUCGCCUUCGAUGAGCUCGGAGAGCCCUUAGCUAAGGAUGAAUCGGAUUGCGACCGGAUGUUGAAGCUGUCUUCAUAUGUGAGUGUUACUUUGUCAUUUCCUUACUUUUUCCUCUUUAUUAUCAUUAUUUAGGUAGUGAUGAUCGUCUUGCCAUGCAGGUCAUGGCCGAGUAUCACGACAGACUGCAAGAGGUUGAGCGGUACAAGGCAAAACUGAAGGAGAAUAAGCAGCUUGUGGACGAGGCCCGAAGGAAUAAGGGACUUUUGACUCAGGCUCUCCAACUGAAGGAUGAAACCAUGGAGAGCUUGAAAAGGCGAAAUGGUGAGAACCUAAGGCUUAAGAAAUUGUUUGAGGCAACUAAAAAACAGUUGGAGGUGGCUACCUUGGAAGUAUCCAAGGUUAGGGGAGAAUUGGAUGGUGCCUUAGUUGAGAUUUCUGAACUGGAGAAGAGCAUUCCAACUGAAAGGGAGGCUGCUGUGCAAGAAUACUUAAGUUCUUCGACCUUUCAUCUUGCUAUUAAACCCUACUGUGCUCAAGAAGCUCGCUUUGAAAAAAGGAAAUGGAUGGCCGUCCUUGAUCGUUAUGAUGAUGGGAGCAUUCUUCGAAAAUACCACGAAGAUAUAGAUGAGCAUCAUCGAAAGGGCGAGACAUUUGUCCUUGCUGUUGAUCCUAGCAGCGAAGAUGAGUCUGAUAAUGAAGGUAGUGCUGAUGCACAGACUCAGCAUGGUGAAGAGGAUCUUGGGGAUGCAGAGGAUGAUGGUAGGACGCGGAAUGAUACUGCCAGGGGUUCGGCUUCAGAUGAGAAUGAAUAGCAGUGUCUUUACUAUCUGCAUGUAUUCUGGAUGUAGUAGUCUGAUGUGUGUAUAACAUGUGCCCAUGUUAUAAGCUUGAGAGUUUUGGAUUUUAGGUGUUUAUGAGUGUUUGCACUAUUAUUAAUGCAUGUUUGGCUAUGUAUGAAUAGAUCUAUUCUAUUGUUUGGAUAUAAGCCAUUGUUUGGUUGUUCCUUUCUUUGUAUAGUCUUGUCGACACAUACUUAGAUUUUGUUUCGUGUUGGAUAUAUCUGCUUUGAGGUUUCAACACUUGAGUGUUCCCUUGCUAGGAAUGUAAAAGAGUGAGGGCUGAGUUGGCUAAAUUACCUCUUUAUUGAAUUCAUUGCCAAAUGGCCUUCAUUACAUAGGAUGCCGAACGGCUAUAGCUCAACACUUGUACAUCGUGAGUCUAUUUGUAGUAGUACUUCAAGUGAUCAGCGUUCCAUGGAUGGCCAAGGGUCUUGCCAUCGGAGCUUCUAAGUGUAAGAGCCAGGGCGACUGAUGCCAAUGACUUCAUACGGUCCAUCCCAGUUUGGACUAAGUGUGCCUUCACUCGGGACUCUGUCGCAGAGUAAUCUUUUCUUUAAGACCCAGUCUCCUAUUUUGAAAGAACGAAGCUUGACCCUAGAGUCAUAAUAGUUGGAGAUGCGCUGCUUGUAGGCGACAUUCCUCAAGUGAGCUUGGUUUCUGUGUUCCUCGACUAAAUCCAAGUUGAGGGUGAGUUGUUUGUCAUUUUCACUUUGAAUGUAGUUCUGGACUCGGAAUGUUGCUUGCUCGAGCUCAACAGGGACAACCGCCUCUGUGCCAAAGGCAAGUGAGAAUGGAGUUUCUCCUGUUGAAGUCCGAUAUGAAGUGCGAUAUGACCAAAGAACUUGGGGUACAAAUUCUGGCCAACAGCCUUUAGCUUUGUCUAAGCUGGUUUUCAAAGUGCGCUUGAUUAUUUUUGUUGAUGGCUUCAACUUGUCCAUUAGACUGGGGAUGAGCUGGAGAGGCAAAGCAUAAGUUGAUGUUGAACUUAGAGCAGAACAACCUGAACUUCUUGUUGUCAAACUGUCGCCCAUUGUCAGUGACUAUCGCAUUGGGAAUGCCGAAUCUACAAAGGAUGUUCUUCCACACAAAGUCUUCUAUCUUUGCCUCAGUAAUGGUUGCCAAGGGUUCUACUUCGGCCCACUUUGUGAAGUAGUCCACUGCAACGACUGCGUAACAGACUUUGCCCUUCCCUGCCGGCAUUGGGCCGAUCAAAUCAAGUCCCCACUGGGCGAAGGGCCAAGGGCUGAUCAUAGGAGUAAGAGGCUCUGGAGGGGAAUGAGGAAUAGUUGCAUAUCGUUGACAUUUGUCACAUGAGCGGGAUACUUUGAUGGCAUCCUGGUGGAGUGUUGGCCAGUAAUAUCCUUGGCGAAAAGUCUUGUGUGCUAGGGACCGAGAUCCAGCAUGAUCUCCACAGACUCCCUCAUGUAUUUCCCGAAGGACGAUUUCCGCCUCGGCAGGCGUAAGACACCUUAAGUAUGGCAGGCUAAAACCUCGCUUAUAGAGUUGAUCAUUGAUGAUCAGGUAGCGGGUAGACUUGUAUCGAAUUUGCUUAGCCUGGACUUUAUCAUUUGGGAGGGUGCCAUGAGCAAGGAAAUUAUAGAUCGGGGUGAUCCAACUAUCCCCCUGUUGUAAGUUGCAUACUUCUGCGGCCAUGGUGCUUGGUGUUGCCAACAGUUCGACAUGAAUUUUUCUUCCAAUCUUGUCUUCCACAGCUGAGGCGAGGCGAGCCAGGGCGUCUGCAUGACUGUUUGCCGCUCGAGGAACUUGGGUGAUCUGGUAGUGGAAGUGCUUGAGCAAAAGUUGUGUUUGCGCAAGAUAUGCUGCCAUGGAGCUGUCCUUAGCAUCAAAGUUGUUGGUAACCUGGUUGACCACUAAUUGGGAGUCACUGAAAAUAUCAAUUUGUUUAACCCCGAGGUGUUUGGCCAAACGUAAUCCUGCUAGAAGGGCUUCAUACUCGGCCUCAUUGUUUGAUGCCUUGAAUUUGAAACGAAAGAGCAUACUCCAUUGCUACUUUGUCGGGCGUAGUCAAGACUAGUCCCGCUCCACAGCCCUGUUGGUUGGAUGAGCCAUCAACAUACAGACUCCAAGCUGAGGUCGUUGAUUCUACCUUCUGAGCUUCCGGGGGUAAUGAAGCCACUGCUUCAGGUGUAGAAGCAAUGUCAACCGGAUAUGUGAAGUCGGCAAUGAAAUCUGCUACUGCUUGACCUUUUUCGGCUGGUUUUGGUUGGUAGGAGAUGUCAAACUCACCCAAUGCUAUCGCCCAUUUGAUCAUUCGCCCAGACGUGUCAGGACUCUGGAGUAUCUGUCGAAGAGGGUGAUUGGUAAGCACGAUGAUGGCGUGUGUGCUUGGAAAUAAGGGCGAAGUUUCCGAGCAGACAUGACCAAUGCUAGAGCUAAUUUCUCAAUGUUGGAGUAUCGUGUCUCCGCAUCUUGUAGGGCUUUGCUAGCGUAGUAGACAGGUCGCUCAAUAUUCCCAUCCUUUCGAAUGAGAACGGAACUUACGGCUGAAGCUGAUACCGAUAGGUAGAUAAUGAGAAUGUCUCCUACCUCGGGCUUGGAGAGUAGAGGGGCUUUACUCAUGUACUCCUUGAGGUUUUUGAAUGCCUCGGCACAUUCAUCAGUCCAUGUAAUGUACUUCCUACUUCCCUUAAGUGCUUUAAAAAAGGGAGCACAUUUGUCUGUGGCCUUAGAAAUGAACCUGGUUAAGGCUGCCACCUUGCCAGUAAGGCUCUGGAUGUCCUUUGAAGUUACCGGUUCCUUCAUGUCGAGGAUUGCUUUGAUCUUCUCGGGAUUAGCUUCAAUGCCUCGUUGGCUAAUCAUGAAACCUAAGAAUUUGCCAGAGCCUACGCCGAAGGCACAUUUGUUGGGGUUUAACCUCAUUCGAUACCUCUUCAAAAUAGUGAAAGUUUCAGAUAGGUUGGUGAUGUGUUGGUCAGCAUGUUUGCUCUUGACUAACAUAUCAUCAACGUAAACUUCCAUGCUCUUCCCAAUCUGCUCGGCGAACAUUGAGUUGACUAGUCUCUGAUAAGUCGCUCCUGCAUUCUUUAGGCCGAAAGGCAUGACUUUAUAGCAAUAUAGUCCCCUGUCAGUAGUGAAGGCCGUGUGUUCUUGGUCUGAGGGGUUCAUGAGGAUUUGGUUGUAUCCUGAAUAAGCGUCCAUAAAGCUCAAGAGCUCACACCCUGCCGUAGAGUCUAUAAGCCUGUCAAUAAGAGGAAGAGGGAAACUAUCUUUCGGACACCCUUUGUUUAGGUCGGUGUAGUCAACACACAUCCUCCACAAGACCUUUUGAAGCGAAAGACUUUCUUUGGUCGGAUUUUUCCUAACAAGGACCACAUUUGCUACCCAUGUCGGGUAAUUGACUUCGCGGACAAAGCCUAUGCCUUUGAGUUUUUCAACUUCUGCUUUCAUUGCCUCGUAUCGUUCAGCGUCAUAAGAUCUUCGCUUCUGUCUCACCGGCUUGAUCUUGGGGUCAAUACUCAAACGAUGACAUAUGACAUCGGGAGAGAUGCCUGGCAUGUCCUCGUAUGACCAGGCGAAGACUUCAGUGUUCUCUUUCAAAAAAAGAUAUCAAUGCUAACCGAAGGGGUGGUGACAAUGUGGUGCCAAUCUUCACCAUGCGAUCUGGAUAAUCUCUUGAGAUAGGUACCUUCUCCAACUCUUCAGCAGGUUGGGCUUGCUGGGUGAAAGAGUCAUCUCGAGGAUCAUCGGGUUGAUUGUUGCUAUCAGGAAGAUCCAAGUUCGCUUCAUCUAGGCUGGUCUUUGUGACUUGGUCAUGUACAGACAGGGUUUCCUUGGGUCCGGGCAAGUGUUGUUGCUUAACUGAAGUGUUGUAACAUGAUCGUGCACUAAGCUGAUCUCCUCUGAUGUAGCCGUUGCCAUAGGGGGUUGGAAAUUUCAUCAACAGCAUAUGCGUGGAUACCAUAGCCUUGAGAUCAUUGAUGCCUGUGCGCGCCCAAAGAUGACAUUGUAUGCCGUUGGGGGCAGUCAACCACUAGGAAGUUAGUGGUAAUGGUAGCCGUGUAAGGGCCUGUACCAAUAGUAAAGGGUAAAUGUAUGCUCCCUAAGGGUUGCACGAUAUCACCGGAGAAGCUUAUCAGAGGAGAAAUCGAGCGAUCGAGCAAGUGUUCAGCUACACUGAGCGCCCUGAAAGCUUCGGCAAACAUGAUAUUGACCGAAGCCCCUGUGUCUACGAGGAUUCGUCGAACAUCAAAGUUGGCUAUGUGAGCCUCCACGAUCAAUGGGUCGUUAUGAGGGUAGAUGAUGCCUCUUUCUUCCUCAGGGUAGAAACAUAUCGGAUCCCAGUUAGGUUUUUUGAUACUUCCCCCCCUGAUGUCUUCCACGUGAAACACUUGGUGACCAGGCCUCAGACUUCGUUCACUGUUUUUCAUGGCCCUAUUGGAAGAUUCAGAUAUGGGUGUGCCGCCGCUUAUGGAAUAUAUGACAUUCACCUGGCGUUGGUUACGGUUAUCCCUUUGAGGGUGAAGAAGGAAUUGAUCAAUUUUUCCUUCUCGUGCCAAAGCUUCAAUACGAUCACGGAGGAUGAUACAUUUCUCGCUAUCAUGGCCGUUAUGCUCAUGGUAGCAACAAAACGUGCCCGCGUUAUUCGGGGGCGUGUAAUCUGGGUGCCUCGGCUUUGGCUUUGGUAUCAGGUGAGCUAUGCUGGGGUAAAUGGCCGCGCAUGUGGCAUUCAAGGGCGUGUAUGUCUCAUACCUUGGGGUAGGGGGUAUCUUGACGCGGGUUUGACCCACUGCAUUGACUGCCUGGGGGCGAGCGUUAUUGUGGCGAUACCCUUGGUUAUCGGGAUAGUGUCCCUUACUCUUUUUACUGAAAGGAGAGUGGUGAGGAUGGAAAUCCUUCCUCUUGCCUUGAAAUUGAUAUGUCUGUUGAUUCGGUGAAGCAUUAUGCAAGGCAUGGGGAGGUGCCACUGCUGUUUGGGAAGUCGAGGUCUUCUCAUUUAGGUGAGUCUGGCUUCCACCUCCCACUUGUUGAUAAAGGAUGGUUGUAGGGGGUUUCUCCUGAUAUGUUCUUUGCCUCGGCGGAGGCAUGGUUAUAAGCCUGCGCCAUCACCUCAGAGUAAGUCUUCCAAGUAUUGGCAUUGAUCAUGUAUUUAAAGAAACAAUCACGUAGGCCUGCCGUGAAGGCUUUGAGGGCAGUCUUGUCAUCUGCUUCGGCACACCGGGAGUAUUCAUGGCUGAAGCGGCCAGCAUACAUACGUAAUGACUCGUCUGGCUUCUGGCGGAUAGUGUACAAGUCAUCUGCAGAGUGCAAGCGAUCGGUUUGGAAAAUGUGUUGGGAAACAAAUAGUUUCCUCAAUUCCUCAAAUGAGUCUACCGUCUCAGGUGUAAGACGACAAUACCAAUUUAGAGCUCCACCAGAGAGGGUGGAGGGGAAGAGAAGACAUCGCUCUUCGUCGGUGUGCAUCCGGUAUGCCAUGGUGGACUCAAAGAGGUUAAGGUGCUCAAUCGGGUCCUCUUUUCCAGUAUAAAGUUGCAAGCCAAGCUUUUGCUUUGUCUUUGCUUGAAGGGGGGUGUUGAGGAUCCUCCUUGUAAGAGGGCCAGGCCUGGGUUGGUUCCAGUCAGGUAUUUCAGCCUGACGUUCAGCCUUCAACUUGUUUACUUCCUCAAGAAGUUGUAGGACAAGGGGGUCCUGAGCGGAGUUAUGUGUCACUGGAGAUUUCUUUCGUAAAUCUCCAUCUCCUCUUGGAAUUAGGAAGGUUUGAUCAAGGGCAUGUGAUUUUUCCCUGGACUCGCUGUACUGGCUUCCAGGGUAUGUCUGUCGGAACACCUCUGAGUCCCCUGUACCCUCAUGUCUCUCUGGGACUUGUUGCCCCUUCCCCAAAUUGGUGGCCGGCUUGGGCCGUGGCAGGGGACCGAGUCUCUCAGAAAUCCUUGGGUCAUUAAUCUUUGAGCUUAUAUGGAUGGAAUUCUCUCGACGUUGCUUCAGGAAAUCCCGACAAUCGCGAAAGACGGCUUUCGAUCCUUCUGCCCCUUCAGUAAAGAGGUGUCUCCCUCCACUUCUCAUGGUUCGGGUCGAAGCAACUGGGUUAAGAGAAGCCUCAUGUUGAUUAUCAAGUCGAGGGGUAAUCUGUUCCCUAUCAGGGAUAUCUAUGUCGAAUGCAUGUGACCCUCCAUGUUGGAGGGCACCCAGUUGAUGGUUGACUUCCACGGGGGCAACAAGCUCGCGUGUCUGAGCUUGCCUAGCUUCGUGGAGUGUCUCGAAGAGCUUCUCAUAUUGCUCCUGAAGGACCUCAUUCCUUAUUGCUAUCUUGUUGUUCUGAGCUUCCAACUCAUCGACUUUAGCUUGAAGAAGAACUCGUUUUCCUUCCUUCUUUCGUUGUUUCGCACUAUGUGCAAGGGGGGUGUCAUUCUGUGUGCUGUGGCUUCCUUCGCUUCCCAUGUUGGAGAGGGAUGCCUGGUCAAAAGAAAGUGUACGAAUGAUAGAAACCAGCUUGACACAGCUGAAGAGAGUAGGAAUAAGUGUCGUUUCCCACAGACGGCGCCAAAUGUUGAUGCACAAAAUCAGCGAAGACUUUGGUACAACAGAAAGUGUCAGGUUUUGUGACCUUCGCUUGGUUGCUUCGGUCACUAGUGAGGAUAAGUACGUAAAUGAAUAGAGACAGAGAAGCAAAACACAGGAUGUACGUGGUUCACCCAGAUUGGCUACGUCCACGGAGUAGAGGAGUUCUUAUUAGUAGUGAAGGGCUUACACAAGUACAAAGGAUCAAGCUCUCAAUUUAGUGAGUUCUUGUGAAUGAUUUAACACAAAAUGGCAUUAGGCAAUAUUGUGGGGGAAUGACCCCUAUUUAUAGAAAAACUUGUAGCUUUGUCACAUUGACAUGUGUCAUGUUAUGAUUGGUUCUUGAUGUUGACACGUGCUGCGCUCUGAUUGGCUUCUAAUCUUGACACGUGUCGAGUAGUGAUUGGCCUCCUGGUCGGAGGAGAACUCUUCUGGGUCCUUGACAGUAUAGCGUUGGCCGGUGCUCGGUAGUUUCAGGAUUGGUCAAGUAUGGUACAAACAAACCUUAUGUGGACUUAACCCAUCCACGACAAGCUUUGAUAACAACAAGUCCGAAGUUACUUGGGGCGCAAGUAAUCAAUUUAUCUCUUAGUUUUAUUUCUAUUAUAUUAUGAUUGUAGUAAAAUGUUUAAGUAUAGAAGGAAUUCUGAUGGGAAGCCUUAAGGCCUAUAACUAAGGCCCUACAAAGGCACCUAUUUGGGUUCAUUCUGCUAUGCGGGCUCGGAUAAUCAGAAGUAUAAUGGUUAUAACACUUCUGCAAACAAUAAAACAGACUCAUAUUCGAGUACUGGGUUAGUUCUUGAUCGGAAGCUUCAAGGCCUACACCUAAGGCCAUACAAAGGCACCUGUCAUAAUUAACAUGACCUCUCGAGUAUAUGUACAACUAAAACUCAACAUCCAUUUUACAUUUGCCAUGCUAAAGAUGGCAGUGGCACGCUUGAGCACUUAAAAGUUAAUCUUGAUUGUGAGCCUCAAGAUCUAUACCCAAGGCCCCACAAAGACACCUUUCAAAGUUAACUCUGUCAUUCUCUUUCAGCCUUGCCCAACAAACCUUGCCCAACAAGUUUUGCCCAACAAGCCCGCCAGUGAAGCAGAGGCCCAACAGAAAGCAUCAACCGGCGCCAACCUUUCGGGGAGCUGUGUGCUCGUCGGCUAAGAGACAUCCCUGACGGAAAUUCUAGCCACGAACACACACGAUCCGCUGCCCGCCACCCAUAGCCCAUACCUUCACAACCCGUACCCACACACCCAACAUCAAACGAUGACUCGUAACUCAUGCCUAGAAUUAGAUCUUAAAUUUUGGAAACUGAAAAAAAAAAAAAAAACGAAGAGAAACUAUGACUCACCUGCAAAAGAUGGGGAAGAGAAUGGGAAAAAAGAAUAAAAAACAUAAAGAAUGCUUUGGGUUUAGAAUCAGCCAUCAAUAUAAAAAGCUAAAAAAAUUAAUCUUUAUAAUAAAUUAAGGGUACCCAUAAAUAUUAAUGAUACCCAAAAAUGACUAUAAAUUAAUUAUUAUUUUUUUCUUUUUAUUAGAGCCUCUUGAUUUUGGCAUAACUUUGGUUUAUUAUGUUUCACAAUACAAGUUUUGUGAAAGACAUGGGCCUGUAUCUGUAUCACUGUAUGUUGUUGCGCCCAACUGGUUUUGUGGUUCACAUUCAUGAUAAAGAAUGGUUAUUGUUGUGCUUAUGUUAGAAUAUAAGUAUAUUUUUUUAAACACAAAGUAUAUUUUUUUUAAACACAAAGUAUAUUUUUUAAACUCAAUUGUGUAAACCGAAAACUCAACAUUGCUAUUACAAGAAUUGCAAAUCCUUACAGGCACCCCAAUAUUCUUGCAGAAUUUAUAGCCGGACAAUUAAAGAAUAGAGUUUCAUUUCGCAAAGCAAUGAAAAAAUCUAUUGAAUUAACUGAACAGACAGGUACAAAAGGGAUUCAAGUACAAAUUGCAGGGCGUAUCGACGGAAAAGAAAUUGCACGUGUUGAAUGGAUCCGAGAAGGUAGAGUUCCUCUACAAACCAUUCAAGCUAAAAUUGAUUAUUGUUCCUAUGCAGUUCGAACUAUCUAUGGGGUAUUAGGCAUCAAAAUUUGGAUAUUUGUAGACGAGGAAUAAUAAGAACUUACUUGACUUAUACUUAGAGCAUCCAAUGCACGGCAGUAGGGCAUCCAACAUAUGGCACAAUUUAUAUUACGGAGUAUGCUAUACAAUGGUCCACCACUCGUGCUAUGUGAAUGAUAUGUUGUUGUUAUAAAGUUGAACUACAUUUGUGCUGCUGAAAAAAAUUGUGAAACAACAUAAUAAAUUACAU
This 67562-nucleotide long non-coding RNA is filed under the name Malus domestica (apple). The record is from RNAcentral. Lineage: Eukaryota; Viridiplantae; Streptophyta; Magnoliopsida; Rosales; Rosaceae.